Molecule: long non-coding RNA, 54856 nt
Filed under: Setaria viridis
Lineage: Eukaryota; Viridiplantae; Streptophyta; Magnoliopsida; Poales; Poaceae
Description: long non-coding RNA (SVIR_LNC010032)
Source: RNAcentral
AUAAUAAUAAUAAUCAUGUUUCCAUAAAAUUGCUAAGUCCAGAGAUAAUACAUAAACAUAGUAGACUGUUCAUGACACAUAUCACGGUGGACAGUGUUUGUGUCCUUAUUACAAGCAACGAGAGAUGCUCGUCACCAACACGCGCGCGCACAGAUGCACGACAUACAUAUAGUAGAGACCAACAGAUGGUCGUCCCAUAUGGUGAACAAUUUAUUGGGGAUAAAUAUUAACGUAACUUGGCCAUAGCUUGAAGCAUAGCAACAUAUGCCUAUGAGUGGCAUUCAUGCUAUCGUUUUAGGCUUGUCCAGCUCCUUCCAUCUUAGCAAGCACUUCCAUUUCUACCAUCUUAGCAGCAACUGUCAAAUUGAGAUACGGAAAUCCCAUUAGCGCAUGAGUUAAUUUUGCAGUGGAAAUAGAGUACAAGAUGUCUUCAUGAUGUAAGUAAUAUGCCUGAAGUUGUGAGAUGGGAAGUGAAGUCAACAAAUUACAUUAACGGAAAUGCAUGGAAGGCCACACAUACGUAUUAGUCCAUGAUAUGCUACAAAGCUUGUAUGUACAUAUAGCAAAUUAAAUGCAUUAAUUGAAUAGAGUGUGUUUAGUGAAUUUACCAGAAUCGUCCAGAAAACAUGGGAAACAGCAAGUGUUCUUGCAGACUGCGUCGGAGGCACCCGCACGAAUACAAAGCUGACAACAUAGUUUUGCCUGGGCGGAUGCGCAGCAGCCGCACUCCGCCGCGGUGGGGUUAACAUUGAGGCUCAAGAUGACCAGGCACAUGAUCACCAUCAAAGUGGUAGUCCUCUUUCCCUCCAUUGCCUCCUCUUAGCUUGCUGCUACCUUCCUUGGUUACCUAGCUAAGUUUAUUGGUUUUGUGUUGAGAGGUGUGAUUUUUGAAUGGACGUUGCCGGCGGCAAUUUAUAGGCAGCUGAGCUAUGUGAUGAUAUGGACUAGGUGCAAAUGGGUGGUUAAUGGCAAGGAAAGGGGCGUCAGACAAAGCCCAAUGGCAACUGCUGACAUGCGAUUAAAUUCAGAUCCACAUCCGGCCAUUCAAUAAUACGGUUGGAGUUGUGGCACAGAUAUAUUAUUGCAUGAUCAUCAAGAUAAGAUCGUACAGUGACUGAGUGAGACAAUAAAUAGCCAAGUAAACUAUUUUAUCCUGCUGCAAGCUGCAUUCAUAAGUUUAUUUCACCUUUGAUCACAAUACUCUUCACACACGUACGUCUCAGGGAGAUCUCACUUCCGCUGGACUGCUCACUUCCGCUGUCGUCGGUACUGCCAAAGACAUAAGCUCACAUCUGCUAUUGCGGAGCAGGCCAAUUUGCUGCGGAACUUCGGCGACGACCUGAAGGACAUGAACUCGGUGCUGGAGUCCAUCUCAGCAGCGCUCUAGGACGCUGACACCGGUAGAAAAACGACCUUCCAUCGUCAACAAAAAUCCCGGUAGCUUUUUUACUCGGUACUAAAGAGGUUUUAAUCUCGUGCAAACACCUUUAGUCCAGAUUGCUAUUACCACGCAACCCGGACUAAAGCGUCCCCCGCGAGUUAGUAUAUAAGGAUUGCAUCCUUUACUCAGUCAGAUAUAAUAUGUAGGUGAGAUGGUAAGGAAGCUAUGCGUGAGGCUUCAGGUUGUGGGUUCGAAUCCAAGUGGGUGCAGCUGUGGCUUAAGCGGCUGAGGCACGCCGCCAUAGACAUCUCAGAUUUGCUCGAAGACUACCAAGACACUAGUGAACCCUUAACAGUAAAGGUGAGUACUUAUGAAUGUCAGCAUCCAUGUUGUCCAUGCUUCCAAUGUAAUAACAAGAUGGACUACUCUUCCUAGCGGACUCUUCACAACCACUCGUAAAGCUAUGCGUUUCUCAAUGCAAUUUCGUAGAAGCCAAUCGAUCCAACCAAGUGACUAAAUCAUUCGUCCUUUCCAAUGAUGUGCAUCAGGUUUUCUAUAUGAAGGGCAUGUCUAGCAAACCUAAGAUUUCAGAAGAAAAAGAAAAAUCAUUGGAGCCAAAGAGCCACAUAGUUCUUCUAGGAAAAAAAUCAUGGGAGUCGAGAACAUAUCAAACCAAUCAGGGGAUUAUGGUCAGCUUAAUGGCAUGCCUCCAUUCGAUGUCGAAGUUCACCCAAGCAUCAUGUUAGCCAAACAUCAAAUGUUCGUGCGUUGUUACGGUAAAGAUCAAUUGUGUUUUUUAAACUCUUGGAAUUUUUUUAUCUAAGUUUUUAUUUACACUUAUUGGAUGUCUACACAUUUGCUAGAAAACUAAAAUAAUUUGGACUUAAUUAUUUCUUUCAACUGAAGUACUCACUAAAUUUCUACCUUUUUAUUUAAGCAAGAGAGUUGCUAAAAAAAAUGGAUACGUAACCAUGUUGUAUCAUACAAAGUAACCACGUUUCACAUAUAGUCCGGCUUAGCAAACACCAUUGUUUUCUGAACAUAGCGUACAUGAGUUAACAGACAUGGAUUUAUUUCUAUUGCAAGUAGCAUAGCGUACAACCUGCCUGCACCGAUGCAGCUCAAUAUGCGAUAAUUUUUAUCUUCCCAUGUAAUUUUUCUACUCUAGUACAUAUUGAACUCCACAUUAAUGUCAUGUUCUUUCGCGCCCCAGAAGGUUCCUAAAGUUUGGAAACUUAAUAGAUAGCCAGAAUUUUUUUUAAAGAUAUUUAUAUGGAUACUUGUAUGUUCUUUCCAAACUAACAAUAUUGUUUACCAAUAUCAGAAGGAAUAUGGUUAGGAGCCAUUGCCGCAUAUGGCAGGUGAUGGUAGAUGGCGUAUGGGGUUUCGUUAAUUUAAUGGUAUAAUAAGCUGAAAUACAUUUUCUAUUUGCAAAUGAAUCAUAGCUGAAAUUGGUGGGAUUGUUUUUUCGCCGGUUUAGCAUCCUGUGCACCAGUUCAACCGGAGGGAAGCUGUUUUUUUUCUUUGGUUUUCCACCGGUUCACCGAGACCGAUGACAAUUUUAUGGCAGAAUCAUUACUUGUUUUACUAUUAGGUGAAGAUUUUAGCGUUUAGGUAUCUCACAUUAAACGCAACUUCAACAAUCUAUUUCUAGUGUAUAAUGUAGGAGACCCCGUAAAGAGUCUACACACACAUAUAUGUUGACUAUGAAUGUAAGUUUGUUGGUUUUAUGUAUGUUCGUUUGGAGUUUAUAUAAAUUUUACAUUUUAUAGUUUUGUGUAUAUGACGAAGAUCCAUGACUUGCAUUAAUUUAGCCUUUCUUCCAACAACUCUUAUGCAUGCUGUUUCUAGGCGAGCGUACUGGUUGCAAUUUUGGUCCCCGAUAUAGUGUGAGGACUUAAGGGACACGUGCAGGUCGUAACCUUAGAUAUUUUUGCUGAGAAUGGAUGAAGAAGCAAUAAUAUACUUUGCUUCUGAUUUUCUCCAUGUCAUUUGCUUACUCUUAUCCCUUUUAUUUAUCAUUAUAAGAUGAAAAUAUUGUAAAAACUUGGCUACGUGCGGUCGCAGAAGCUAGAGACUAAAGCGUCCCCCACGAGUUACUAUAUAAAAGGAUUGCAUCCUCUACUCAGUCAUAUGUACUGUGUAGGUGAGAUGGUAAGGAAGCUAUGUGUGAGGCUUGAGGUUGUAGGUUCGAAUCCCACGCACCGCGUGCGCAUGCGCAUAUUUUGCGUGAAAAAUCGCAUGACUUGUGGUCGGCCAAGGAGAAGUGCGUGCGGCUGAGGCACGCCGCCAUAGACAUCUCGGAUUUGCUCCAAGACUACCAAGACACUAGCGAACCCUUAACGGCAAAGUUGAGUACUUACGCGUGUUAGCAUCUAUGUUGUCCAUGCUUCCAAUGCAAUAACAAGAAGGGCUACUCAUCCUAGCGGAUUCUUCACAACCACUCGUAAAGCUAUGCGUUUCUCAAUGCAAUUUCGUAGAUGUCAAUCGAUCCAACCAAGCGACUGAAUCAUUCGUCCUUGCUAAUGAUGUGCAUCAGGUUUUCUAUAUGAAGAACAUGUCUAGCAAAUCCAAGAUUUCAGAAGAAAAAUAAAAAUCAUGAGAACCAAAGCACCACGUAGUUCUUCCAGGUAAAAAAAACAAUCAUCCACUGGGAUGACACACAGUAGCGAUCCAAAACGUCCAUAUUAAGACUUUUUGAUAGCAGAAAAAACAUGAAAAUGUCUAAUAUUUGUAGUAUUAAAAGGAAAAAUAAUAUAUUCACUUGACCUUUUUUUCGUAGCAACGCACCGGUGCGUAGUCAGACUUAGGCCACGUUUGGAUACUCCCUACUAAAGUUUAGCACCUGUCACAUAGGAUGUUUGGAUACUAAUUAGGAGUAUUAAACAUAGGCUAAUUAUAAAACUAAUUGAAUAGAUGGAGUCUAAUUUGCGAGACGAAUCUAUUAAGCCUAACUAGUCCAUGAUUUGACAAUGUGGUGCUACAGUAACCAUUUGCUAAUGGUGGAUUAAUUAGGCUUAAUAGAUUCGUCUCGCGAAUUAACAUAGGGUUCUGCAAUUAAUUUUAUAAUUAGCUCAUGUCUAGUCCUUCUAAUUAGCAUCCGAACAUCUGAUAUGAUACUGCUAAAGUUUAUCACCUAGUAUCCAAAUACCCCCUUAAUGCACGAUGCCUGUGCAUCCACUGGGCCUACCCUCGUGGAUCACGCGCUCGUGGAUCACGCGCACCAUGACAUGGCUCAUUAGCUAGUCGUGCUAAUCCUUACCACCAAAUUAAAAACUAGCAUGUGUUGUGUGUUUGUGACCCUAAACGACUACCACCUUCCCGAGUCCACCGGAGUUGCCAGUUCACCACUAAGCUGACUCUCCGAGCUUCAUGUCACUGUCACCGCUCCAAAGACCUAGAUCGGUUCGCUGUGCACCCCGCUUCGUCCUGAGCUAAAUCCCAUCACGAAAGGUGACCGGAUGCUCGUUUUCGAGCGAAUUCUAGCGAGAUUGCCACCACCUUUCCCCUUCCAGCCGAUCGCAGCUGUCUGAUCACAAACCGACAGCCCAGAUCGGAUUUGACCAGGUCAAUACCGGUCAAGCCGAGAUGCAUGCUGCUUUUGCAAGAAGGCCCCUAUUUUUCUCUCGUUUUGCACUUGAGGUCCUACGCAGUUCAAAAGUAAUUAGAUCUAGAUCCUUUUUCUUCUGUUUUAGCCCUGUUCUUUUAUAAAAUCCCACCCGCCAUCCUGUUUGGUAUUUUGACAUGUUAGACCUUCUAUUUAUAUGUUUAAUUAGGUUUUAGCCCUUGGUUUCUUUAAGUUUAGCUCUUGGAAGUUUAGUUUUCUCGCAGUUAAGCCCCUGAACCUUGUUUAGUUCAUAUCUUUAGCGUUUUAAAUCCGUUUUAAGAGAUUCUUACGCCCAUAAGUUCGUGUUGAUGCAUAGAUUAGUUGACUUAUACGGACCUUGCUGAUUCAGCUCCUUCAUUGUGCUUCAGAUCUCGCUAGUGAAGAAUAAUGGAUGGGCUUUGGUUGAGCUUGUAGAUCGACCUGCAGUUGCAGUGAAUGUGCUGAGGACUGGCGGUACCAAUAAUGGGAGGCCGCUGCUCUGCUUGCUACCAAGGCCUGCGACGCUUGGACGCCAUUCAGAGUGCAUAAUUUCCAAGGAUCUCAAGGGCUCCACACCACGUUCCAAGUGUUUUUUCUUUGCCGAGUGUUUUUAGCUCGGCACUUGGCAAAGAGCUUGUUUGCCGAGUGUCCGAAAAAAACACUUGGCAAAGAGAAAACACUCGGCAAAUUUGAUGUUUCCCGUAGUGAUGUACUAUUCAAACUUGAACUGGGAUGCAGGCUUCAGUACCAAAGAGAGCUCUGGGCGCGGGUGAGCAGUGAGCUGGCCGGGCAGGGAGCUCCAAAGCGACAGCAACAAAGAGAGAAAUGCUAAGAGUAAGAACGACACACGAGGUCACUUCACAUAGAUAAUAGCAGUACGAACCAUACAAUAUCCUCUCUCAGUUUCACUCCGCCUCACACACGGCUAGCACACCAUGCAUGCCGAUUUCAUAUUAUUAAUAUUAUUUUUUGGAUGGUUGUUGAAACUAUAUAUAUAGUUAGUCCAAUCUCACGUUUCCGAUUAUAAAAAUCAACGUAAAGAGAUCGGUAGGGAGAGCCGGCAUAAUGAAGCCGACGCGUGUAAUAAGCACCAGAGCCGGCAUUUAUACAAACUGGUACGAAUAGUAAAAAACUAGAAUUUAUAAAUAAAAAAAUGAUUUGCACAUCUAUGCAAUAAUUAGGGGUUAGUGGCAGGUCUAGAGAGAUAUCUCAUCAUUAUAUCCGGUUUAACGAGGAUAAAAAAGAGUGUAUUUUCCACUCAUCAUGUUGUCUUUUCGCAGCGGUACCACUUUUCGUGUGUUGUAUCGGUCCCCUAAUACGGAGUCUCCGAGGCCCGAGAAAAUAAGGAAAGUGAUAGUAGCCCAGAAAUCGGCCAAGUUUCUUUCCCCUUUGGCUUUCCUACUAGGAUUCAGAAUCCUCUUUCGCAUGACAAUCUUAAUUAUCUCCCAUACUCCAAAACUCACAAAAACAUCAAGAGUCCGCUGAGAAUAAAUUUAAGUAAAAAACAUGCACACACAGAUAAUAAUAAUAAUCAUGUUUCCAUAAAAUUGCUAAGUCCAGAGAUAAUACAUAAACAUAGUAGACUGUUCAUGACACAUAUCACGGUGGACAGUGUUUGUGUCCUUAUUACAAGCAACGAGAGAUGCUCGUCACCAACACGCGCGCGCACAGAUGCACGACAUACAUAUAGUAGAGACCAACAGAUGGUCGUCCCAUAUGGUGAACAAUUUAUUGGAGAUAAAUAUUAACGUAACUUGGCCAUAGCUUGAAGCAUAGCAACAUAUGCCUAUGAGUGGCAUUCAUGCUAUCGUUUUAGGCUUGUCCAGCUCCUUCCAUCUUAGCAAGCACUUCCAUUUCUACCAUCUUAGCAGCAACUGUCAAAUUGAGAUACGGAAAUCCCAUUAGCGCAUGAGUUAAUUUUGCAGUGGAAAUAGAGUACAAGAUGUCUUCAUGAUGUAAGUAAUAUGCCUGAAGUUGUGAGAUGGGAAGUGAAGUCAACAAAUUACAUUAACGGAAAUGCAUGGAAGGCCACACAUACGUAUUAGUCCAUGAUAUGCUACAAAGCUUGUAUGUACAUAUAGCAAAUUAAAUGCAUUAAUUGAAUAGAGUGUGUUUAGUGAAUUUACCAGAAUCGUCCAGAAAACAUGGGAAACAGCAAGUGUUCUUGCAGACUGCGUCGGAGGCACCCGCACGAAUACAAAGCUGACAACAUAGUUUUGCCUGGGCGGAUGCGCAGCAGCCGCACUCCGCCGCGGUGGGGUUAACAUUGAGGCUCAAGAUGACCAGGCACAUGAUCACCAUCAAAGUGGUAGUCCUCUUUCCCUCCAUUGCCUCCUCUUAGCUUGCUGCUACCUUCCUUGGUUACCUAGCUAAGUUUAUUGGUUUUGUGUUGAGAGGUGUGAUUCUUGAAUGGACGUUGCCGGCGGCAAUUUAUAGGCAGCUGAGCUAUGUGAUGAUAUGGACUAGGUGCAAAUGGGUGGUUAAUGGCAAGGAAAGGGGCGUCAGACAAAGCCCAAUGGCAACUGCUGACAUGCGAUUAAAUUCAGAUCCACAUCCGGCCAUUCAAUAAUACGGUUGGAGUUGUGGCACAGAUAUAUUAUUGCAUGAUCAUCAAGAUAAGAUCGUACAGUGACUGAGUGAGACAAUAAAUAGCCAAGUAAACUAUUUUAUCCUGCUGCAAGCUGCAUUCAUAAGUUUAUUUCACCUUUGAUCACAAUACUCUUCACACACGUACGUCUCAGGGAGAUCUCACUUCCGCUGGACUGCUCACUUCCGCUGUCGUCGGUACUGCCAAAGACAUAAGCUCACAUCUGCUAUUGCGGAGCAGGCCAAUUUGCUGCGGAACUUCGGCGACGACCUGAAGGACAUGAACUCGGUGCUGGAGUCCAUCUCAGCAGCGCUCUAGGACGCUGACACCGGUAGAAAAACGACCUUCCAUCGUCAACAAAAAUCCCGGUAGCUUUUUUACUCGGUACUAAAGAGGUUUUAAUCUCGUGCAAACACCUUUAGUCCAGAUUGCUAUUACCACGCAACCCGGACUAAAGCGUCCCCCGCGAGUUAGUAUAUAAGGAUUGCAUCCUUUACUCAGUCAGAUAUAAUAUGUAGGUGAGAUGGUAAGGAAGCUAUGCGUGAGGCUUCAGGUUGUGGGUUCGAAUCCAAGUGGGUGCAGCUGUGGCUUAAGCGGCUGAGGCACGCCGCCAUAGACAUCUCAGAUUUGCUCGAAGACUACCAAGACACUAGUGAACCCUUAACAGUAAAGGUGAGUACUUAUGAAUGUCAGCAUCCAUGUUGUCCAUGCUUCCAAUGUAAUAACAAGAUGGACUACUCUUCCUAGCGGACUCUUCACAACCACUCGUAAAGCUAUGCGUUUCUCAAUGCAAUUUCGUAGAAGCCAAUCGAUCCAACCAAGUGACUAAAUCAUUCGUCCUUUCCAAUGAUGUGCAUCAGGUUUUCUAUAUGAAGGGCAUGUCUAGCAAACCUAAGAUUUCAGAAGAAAAAGAAAAAUCAUUGGAGCCAAAGAGCCACAUAGUUCUUCUAGGAAAAAAAUCAUGGGAGUCGAGAACAUAUCAAACCAAUCAGGGGAUUAUGGUCAGCUUAAUGGCAUGCCUCCAUUCGAUGUCGAAGUUCACCCAAGCAUCAUGUUAGCCAAACAUCAAAUGUUCGUGCGUUGUUACGGUAAAGAUCAAUUGUGUUUUUUAAACUCUUGGAAUUUUUUUAUCUAAGUUUUUAUUUACACUUAUUGGAUGUCUACACAUUUGCUAGAAAACUAAAAUAAUUUGGACUUAAUUAUUUCUUUCAACUGAAGUACUCACUAAAUUUCUACCUUUUUAUUUAAGCAAGAGAGUUGCUAAAAAAAAUGGAUACGUAACCAUGUUGUAUCAUACAAAGUAACCACGUUUCACAUAUAGUCCGGCUUAGCAAACACCAUUGUUUUCUGAACAUAGCGUACAUGAGUUAACAGACAUGGAUUUAUUUCUAUUGCAAGUAGCAUAGCGUACAACCUGCCUGCACCGAUGCAGCUCAAUAUGCGAUAAUUUUUAUCUUCCCAUGUAAUUUUUCUACUCUAGUACAUAUUGAACUCCACAUUAAUGUCAUGUUCUUUCGCGCCCCAGAAGGUUCCUAAAGUUUGGAAACUUAAUAGAUAGCCAGAAUUUUUUUUAAAGAUAUUUAUAUGGAUACUUGUAUGUUCUUUCCAAACUAACAAUAUUGUUUACCAAUAUCAGAAGGAAUAUGGUUAGGAGCCAUUGCCGCAUAUGGCAGGUGAUGGUAGAUGGCGUAUGGGGUUUCGUUAAUUUAAUGGUAUAAUAAGCUGAAAUACAUUUUCUAUUUGCAAAUGAAUCAUAGCUGAAAUUGGUGGGAUUGUUUUUUCGCCGGUUUAGCAUCCUGUGCACCAGUUCAACCGGAGGGAAGCUGUUUUUUUUCUUUGGUUUUCCACCGGUUCACCGAGACCGAUGACAAUUUUAUGGCAGAAUCAUUACUUGUUUUACUAUUAGGUGAAGAUUUUAGCGUUUAGGUAUCUCACAUUAAACGCAACUUCAACAAUCUAUUUCUAGUGUAUAAUGUAGGAGACCCCGUAAAGAGUCUACACACACAUAUAUGUUGACUAUGAAUGUAAGUUUGUUGGUUUUAUGUAUGUUCGUUUGGAGUUUAUAUAAAUUUUACAUUUUAUAGUUUUGUGUAUAUGACGAAGAUCCAUGACUUGCAUUAAUUUAGCCUUUCUUCCAACAACUCUUAUGCAUGAUGUUUCUAGGCGAGCGUACUGGUUGCAAUUUUGGUCCCCGAUAUAGUGUGAGGACUUAAGGGACACGUGCAGGUCGUAACCUUAGAUAUUUUUGCUGAGAAUGGAUGAAGAAGCAAUAAUAUACUUUGCUUCUGAUUUUCUCCAUGUCAUUUGCUUACUCUUAUCCCUUUUAUUUAUCAUUAUAAGAUGAAAAUAUUGUAAAAACUUGGCUACGUGCGGUCGCAGAAGCUAGAGACUAAAGCGUCCCCCACGAGUUACUAUAUAAAAGGAUUGCAUCCUCUACUCAGUCAUAUGUACUGUGUAGGUGAGAUGGUAAGGAAGCUAUGUGUGAGGCUUGAGGUUGUAGGUUCGAAUCCCACGCACCGCGUGCGCAUGCGCAUAUUUUGCGUGAAAAAUCGCAUGACUUGUGGUCGGCCAAGGAGAAGUGCGUGCGGCUGAGGCACGCCGCCAUAGACAUCUCGGAUUUGCUCCAAGACUACCAAGACACUAGCGAACCCUUAACGGCAAAGUUGAGUACUUACGCGUGUUAGCAUCUAUGUUGUCCAUGCUUCCAAUGCAAUAACAAGAAGGGCUACUCAUCCUAGCGGAUUCUUCACAACCACUCGUAAAGCUAUGCGUUUCUCAAUGCAAUUUCGUAGAUGUCAAUCGAUCCAACCAAGCGACUGAAUCAUUCGUCCUUGCUAAUGAUGUGCAUCAGGUUUUCUAUAUGAAGAACAUGUCUAGCAAAUCCAAGAUUUCAGAAGAAAAAUAAAAAUCAUGAGAACCAAAGCACCACGUAGUUCUUCCAGGUAAAAAAAACAAUCAUCCACUGGGAUGACACACAGUAGCGAUCCAAAACGUCCAUAUUAAGACUUUUUGAUAGCAGAAAAAACAUGAAAAUGUCUAAUAUUUGUAGUAUUAAAAGGAAAAAUAAUAUAUUCACUUGACCUUUUUUUCGUAGCAACGCACCGGUGCGUAGUCAGACUUAGGCCACGUUUGGAUACUCCCUACUAAAGUUUAGCACCUGUCACAUAGGAUGUUUGGAUACUAAUUAGGAGUAUUAAACAUAGGCUAAUUAUAAAACUAAUUGAACAGAUGGAGUCUAAUUUGCGAGACGAAUCUAUUAAGCCUAACUAGUCCAUGAUUUGACAAUGUGGUGCUACAGUAACCAUUUGCUAAUGGUGGAUUAAUUAGGCUUAAUAGAUUCGUCUCGCGAAUUAACAUAGGGUUCUGCAAUUAAUUUUAUAAUUAGCUCAUGUCUAGUCCUUCUAAUUAGCAUCCGAACAUCUGAUAUGAUACUGCUAAAGUUUAUCACCUAGUAUCCAAAUACCCCCUUAAUGCACGAUGCCUGUGCAUCCACUGGGCCUACCCUCGUGGAUCACGCGCUCGUGGAUCACGCGCACCAUGACAUGGCUCAUUAGCUAGUCGUGCUAAUCCUUACCACCAAAUUAAAAACUAGCAUGUGUUGUGUGUUUGUGACCCUAAACGACUACCACCUUCCCGAGUCCACCGGAGUUGCCAGUUCACCACUAAGCUGACUCUCCGAGCUUCAUGUCACUGUCACCGCUCCAAAGACCUAGAUCGGUUCGCUGUGCACCCCGCUUCGUCCUGAGCUAAAUCCCAUCACGAAAGGUGACCGGAUGCUCGUUUUCGAGCGAAUUCUAGCGAGAUUGCCACCACCUUUCCCCUUCCAGCCGAUCGCAGCUGUCUGAUCACAAACCGACAGCCCAGAUCGGAUUUGACCAGGUCAAUACCGGUCAAGCCGAGAUGCAUGCUGCUUUUGCAAGAAGGCCCCUAUUUUUCUCUCUUUUUGCACUUGAGGUCCUACGCAGUUCAAAAGUAAUUAGAUCUAGAUCCUUUUUCUUCUGUUUUAGCCCUGUUCUUUUAUAAAAUCCCACCCGCCAUCCUGUUUGGUAUUUUGACAUGUUAGACCUUCUAUUUAUAUGUUUAAUUAGGUUUUAGCCCUUGGUUUCUUUAAGUUUAGCUCUUGGAAGUUUAGUUUUCUCGCAGUUAAGCCCCUGAACCUUGUUUAGUUCAUAUCUUUAGCGUUUUAAAUCCGUUUUAAGAGAUUCUUACGCCCAUAAGUUCGUGUUGAUGCAUAGAUUAGUUGACUUAUACGGACCUUGCUGAUUCAGCUCCUUCAUUGUGCUUCAGAUCUCGCUAGUGAAGAAUAAUGGAUGGGCUUUGGUUGAGCUUGUAGAUCGACCUGCAGUUGCAGUGAAUGUGCUGAGGACUGGCGGUACCAAUAAUGGGAGGCCGCUGCUCUGCUUGCUACCAAGGCCUGCGACGCUUGGACGCCAUUCAGAGUGCAUAAUUUCCAAGGAUCUCAAGGGCUCCACACCACGUUCCAAGUGUUUUUUCUUUGCCGAGUGUUUUUAGCUCGGCACUUGGCAAAGAGCUUGUUUGCCGAGUGUCCGAAAAAAACACUUGGCAAAGAGAAAACACUCGGCAAAUUUGAUGUUUCCCGUAGUGAUGUACUAUUCAAACUUGAACUGGGAUGCAGGCUUCAGUACCAAAGAGAGCUCUGGGCGCGGGUGAGCAGUGAGCUGGCCGGGCAGGGAGCUCCAAAGCGACAGCAACAAAGAGAGAAAUGCUAAGAGUAAGAACGACACACGAGGUCACUUCACAUAGAUAAUAGCAGUACGAACCAUACAAUAUCCUCUCUCAGUUUCACUCCGCCUCACACACGGCUAGCACACCAUGCAUGCCGAUUUCAUAUUAUUAAUAUUAUUUUUUGGAUGGUUGUUGAAACUAUAUAUAUAGUUAGUCCAAUCUCACGUUUCCGAUUAUAAAAAUCAACGUAAAGAGAUCGGUAGGGAGAGCCGGCAUAAUGAAGCCGACGCGUGUAAUAAGCACCAGAGCCGGCAUUUAUACAAACUGGUACGAAUAGUAAAAAACUAGAAUUUAUAAAUAAAAAAAUGAUUUGCACAUCUAUGCAAUAAUUAGGGGUUAGUGGCAGGUCUAGAGAGAUAUCUCAUCAUUAUAUCCGGUUUAACGAGGAUAAAAAAGAGUGUAUUUUCCACUCAUCAUGUUGUCUUUUCGCAGCGGUACCACUUUUCGUGUGUUGUAUCGGUCCCCUAAUACGGAGUCUCCGAGGCCCGAGAAAAUAAGGAAAGUGAUAGUAGCCCAGAAAUCGGCCAAGUUUCUUUCCCCUUUGGCUUUCCUACUAGGAUUCAGAAUCCUCUUUCGCAUGACAAUCUUAAUUAUCUCCCAUACUCCAAAACUCACAAAAACAUCAAGAGUCCGCUGAGAAUAAAUUUAAGUAAAAAACAUGCACACACAGAUAAUAAUAAUAAUCAUGUUUCCAUAAAAUUGCUAAGUCCAGAGAUAAUACAUAAACAUAGUAGACUGUUCAUGACACAUAUCACGGUGGACAGUGUUUGUGUCCUUAUUACAAGCAACGAGAGAUGCUCGUCACCAACACGCGCGCGCACAGAUGCACGACAUACAUAUAGUAGAGACCAACAGAUGGUCGUCCCAUAUGGUGAACAAUUUAUUGGAGAUAAAUAUUAACGUAACUUGGCCAUAGCUUGAAGCAUAGCAACAUAUGCCUAUGAGUGGCAUUCAUGCUAUCGUUUUAGGCUUGUCCAGCUCCUUCCAUCUUAGCAAGCACUUCCAUUUCUACCAUCUUAGCAGCAACUGUCAAAUUGAGAUACGGAAAUCCCAUUAGCGCAUGAGUUAAUUUUGCAGUGGAAAUAGAGUACAAGAUGUCUUCAUGAUGUAAGUAAUAUGCCUGAAGUUGUGAGAUGGGAAGUGAAGUCAACAAAUUACAUUAACGGAAAUGCAUGGAAGGCCACACAUACGUAUUAGUCCAUGAUAUGCUACAAAGCUUGUAUGUACAUAUAGCAAAUUAAAUGCAUUAAUUGAAUAGAGUGUGUUUAGUGAAUUUACCAGAAUCGUCCAGAAAACAUGGGAAACAGCAAGUGUUCUUGCAGACUGCGUCGGAGGCACCCGCACGAAUACAAAGCUGACAACAUAGUUUUGCCUGGGCGGAUGCGCAGCAGCCGCACUCCGCCGCGGUGGGGUUAACAUUGAGGCUCAAGAUGACCAGGCACAUGAUCACCAUCAAAGUGGUAGUCCUCUUUCCCUCCAUUGCCUCCUCUUAGCUUGCUGCUACCUUCCUUGGUUACCUAGCUAAGUUUAUUGGUUUUGUGUUGAGAGGUGUGAUUCUUGAAUGGACGUUGCCGGCGGCAAUUUAUAGGCAGCUGAGCUAUGUGAUGAUAUGGACUAGGUGCAAAUGGGUGGUUAAUGGCAAGGAAAGGGGCGUCAGACAAAGCCCAAUGGCAACUGCUGACAUGCGAUUAAAUUCAGAUCCACAUCCGGCCAUUCAAUAAUACGGUUGGAGUUGUGGCACAGAUAUAUUAUUGCAUGAUCAUCAAGAUAAGAUCGUACAGUGACUGAGUGAGACAAUAAAUAGCCAAGUAAACUAUUUUAUCCUGCUGCAAGCUGCAUUCAUAAGUUUAUUUCACCUUUGAUCACAAUACUCUUCACACACGUACGUCUCAGGGAGAUCUCACUUCCGCUGGACUGCUCACUUCCGCUGUCGUCGGUACUGCCAAAGACAUAAGCUCACAUCUGCUAUUGCGGAGCAGGCCAAUUUGCUGCGGAACUUCGGCGACGACCUGAAGGACAUGAACUCGGUGCUGGAGUCCAUCUCAGCAGCGCUCUAGGACGCUGACACCGGUAGAAAAACGACCUUCCAUCGUCAACAAAAAUCCCGGUAGCUUUUUUACUCGGUACUAAAGAGGUUUUAAUCUCGUGCAAACACCUUUAGUCCGGAUUGCUGUUACCACGCAACCCGAACUAAAGCGUCCCCCACGAGUUACUAUAUAAGGAUUGCAUCCUUUACUCAGUCAGAUAUAAUGUGUAGGUGAGAUGGUAAGGAAGCUAUACGUGAGGCUUCAGGUUGUGGGUUCGAAUCCAAGGAGAAGUGGGUGCAGCUGUGGCUUAAGCGGCUGAGGCACGCCGCCAUAGACAUCUCAGAUUUGCUCGAAGACUACCAAGACACUAGUGAACCCUUAACAGUAAAGGUGAGUACUUAUGAAUGUCAGCAUCCAUGUUGUCCAUGCUUCCAAUGUAAUAACAAGAUGGACUACUCUUCCUAGCGGACUCUUCACAACCACUCGUAAAGCUAUACGUUUCUCAAUGCAAUUUCGUAGAAGCCAAUCGAUCCAACCAAGUGACUAAAUCAUUCAUCCUUUCCAAUGAUGUGCAUCAGGUUUUCUACAUGAAGGGCAUCUCUAGCAAACCCAAGAUUUCAGAAGAAAAAGAAAAAUCAUUGGAGCCAAAGAGCCACAUAGUUCUUCCAGGAAAAAAAAAUCAUGGGAGUCGAGAACAAAUCAAACCAAUCAGAGGAUUAUGGUCAGCUUAAUGGCAUGCCUCCAUUCGAUGUCGAAGUUCACCCAAGCAUCAUGUUAGCCAAACAUCAAAUGUUCGUGCGUUGUUACGGUAAAGAUCAAUUGUGUUUUUUAAACUCAUGGAAUUUUUUUUCUAAGUUUUUAUUACACUUAUUGGAUGUCUACACAUUUGCUAGAAAACCAAAAUAAUUUGGACUUAAUUAUUUCUUUCAACUGAAGUACUCACUAAAUUUCUACCUUUUUAUUUAAGCAAGAGAGUUGCUAAAAAAAAUGGAUACAUAACCAUGUUGUAUCGUACAAAGCAACCACAUUUCACAUAUAGUCCGGCUUACCAAACACCAUUUUUUACUGAACAUAGCGUACAUGAGUUAAGAGACAUGGAUUUAUUUCUAUUGCAAGUAGCAUAGCGUACAACCUGCCUGCACCGAUGCAGCUCAAUAUGCGAUAAUUUUUAUCUUCCCAUGUAAUUUUUCUACUCUAGUACAUAUUGAACUCCACAUUAAUGUCAUGUUCUUUGGCGCCCCAGACGGUUCCUAAAGUUUGGAAACAAAAUAGAUAGCCAGAAAUUUUUUUAAAAAAUAUUUAUAUGGAUAUUUGUAUGUUCUUUGCAAACUAACAAUAUUGUUUACCAAUAUCAAAAGGAAUAUGGCUAGGAGCCAUUGCCGCAUAUGGCAGGUGAUGGUAGAUGGCGUAUGGGAUUUCGUUAAUUUAAUGGUAUAAUAAGCUGAAAUACAUUUUCUAUUUGCAAAUGAAUCAUAGCUGAAAGUGGUGAGAUUGUUUUUUCGCCGGUUUAGCAUCCUGUGCACCGGUUCAACUGGAGGGAAGCGGUUCACCGAGACGGAUGACAAUUUUACGGCAGAAUCAUUACUUGUUUUAUUAUUAGGUGAAGAUUUUAGCUUUUAGGUAUCUCACAUUAACAAUCUGUUUCUAGUGUAUAAUGUAGGAGACCCGUAAAGAGUCUACACACACAUAUAUAUGUUGACUAUGAAUGUAAGUUUGUUGGUUUUAUGUAUGUUCAUUUGGAGUUUAUAUAAAUUUUACAUUUUAUAGUUUUGUGUAUAUGACGAAGAUCCAUGACUUGCAUUAAUUUAACCUUUCUUCCAACAACUCUUAUGCAUGCUGUUUCUAGGGGAGCGCACUGGUUGCAAUUUUGGUCCCCGAUAUAGCAUGAGGACUUAAGGGAGACGGGCACGUCGUAACCUUAGAUAUUUUUGCAAGAAGCAAAUUAUACUUUGCUUUUGAUUUUCUCCAUGCCAUUUGCUGACUCUUAUCCCUUUUAUUUAUCAUUAUAAGAUGAAAAUAUUGUAAAAACUUGGUUACGUGCGGUCGCAGAAGCUAGAGACUAUUUCUUUUUUUAAAAAUACGCAAGAGGGAGAAACUUGGUAACAGCUAGACAGUGAAGAUCGCAUUUCAUAAGAAAGAUGGUGCACGUUCUUGUUUGGCUGUUAACGAAAUGACUUCGUUUCACCACACCACCAGAGAGCCCCAUUGCACUUGCAGCAAAAGCGUGGAGCCGCUUUCAACCAGCGUGCAAUAAUGCAGUCCCGCGUGUCUUGGUCUUACAGGAUAUUUGGUUCUUUAGUCCGGACUAAAAUUCAUGUCGCAUAGAAUAUUCAGAUGUUAAAUAGGAGGACUAAACAUGAGCUAAUUAUAAAAAUAAUUACACAAAUGGAGGCUAAUUCCCAAGACAAAUCUAUUAAGUCUAAUUAAUCCAUCAUUAGCACAUGUUUACCGUAGCACCGUAUUGUCAAAUCAUGGACUAAUUAGGCUUAAUAAAUUCGUCUCGCAAGUUAGUCUCCAUCUAUACAAUUUGUUUUAUAAUUAGUCAAUGUUUAAUACUCUAUCUAAACAUUCAAUGUGACUGAAAUUUUAGGAGGUCCUAAAGAACCAAACACCCCUUAGUCUCCGCCUGAACUAUAGCAGGUGCUGGCAGCGGUAGCAGGGUCGUCCAUUAUAUCUAUGGAUGGAAAUGAUCUGAUUCGGAUGGAAUCGAAUUCGAAUAGCACUUUUUACCACAUACUAAUCUGAAUUGGAUGUUCUCGAAUGUGAAUGCAAAACGGAUAGUUCAAAUUUGAAUACUUUGCGGAUUUUUGCAUAAUAUUAAUCGAAGAGAAUUUGUUAAAUUUAGCCGAGACAUAAAUUUUUCUAAAUUCAAAUACUUUGCAGAUUUUCGAAUGCAAAUUUUUUCAUACGAUCUCGGUUGAAUACAAACUUUAUAUCAAAGUUGUAUAUUUAGAUUAUAUAUAAAACUUUGUAGUUGACCUCCUUUUCAUUUAAAAUUUUUUAAUAGCUCAAAACAUUAUUCUAAGCUUUCUAAUUUCAAAAUCUUGAAUUUUAAAUUUUUCAAACGACCUCGGAUGCAAACAAGCUCUAUAUCAAAGUGCUUAAUGAGAUAUAAAAUUUUGUAGUUGACAAGUUUUUUAGUUGAAAACAUUUAGUUAUCACAAACAUACAAGUUCUUCAUUUGAUGUCGAGGAUUGGAAGUGUUGAGUUUGAAGAAUAUAUUCUUUGAUUACAAACUUUUCCAUAUGAUCUUGGAUGAAUACGAACUUUAUUUCAAAGUUGCAAAUUUAGAUUAGACCAAAAACAGUAUAGUUUACAAUUUUUUCAUUCAAAAUUAUUUAGUAGCUCAAAAUGUUAUUCUAAACUCUCUAAUUUUGAAAUCUUGAAUUUUAAAAUUUUCAAAUGACCUCGGAUGCAAACAAGCUCUAUAUCGAAGUGGUAGUUCUUAAUGAGAUAUAAAAUUUUGUAGUUCCAUCUGAGAUCAUUUAACAGUCACAAAUAUACAAGUUUUUCAUAUGAUGCUAAGGAUCAGAAAGAUUAAGUUUGAAGGCUGUAUUUUUUUAAUACAAAUUUUUGCAUACGAUCUCGGAUGAAUACAAACUUUAUAUCAAAAUUGUAGAGCUCGAUGAGAAUUUAAACUUUGUAGUUGAUAUAUUUUUCAUUCGAGAAUGUUUAGUGGUCCAAACAUGUAUUAUAAGUUCAGAGAAGAAACACACAAUCGGCCACGUCAUCAAUUGACAACUUCCAAACUGAGCAUUCCUAUUGGUUCACACCUUUCCCUUUCAACUCGUCAAGCUUAUCUCCUCCCACUCCUCCAUCGUUCACUCCCCCUUCCCCUUCCUCUCUCCCUCCCUCCCUCCGCUCCAGCAGUGGCAGCCCGACCUGCCUCCUAGGACGGUGGUGUGCGGGGCUCGGGCAUCCCUGGCCUCUAGUGGCGUGGCAGGGCGGCCUCCAGCAGCGAUGGCGGAACUCGGCCUCCGGUGGCGCACAGGCAGCGCAGCCUACCUGGUCAAAGGCGGCGCAACAGGGCGACCUCCCCAGCCUCCGGCGGCGCGCAGGGCAUCCAUGACCUCCCCGGCCUCCCUUGCCAGAGGUGGUGCGCGGGGCUGCGCCGACCUCCCCAACCAGAGGUGGCAAGGCCCCAGCUUACGGCGGCGCGUGGCUCCCCAGCUAGGGUGUGGUGGGGCGGCGGCAAGUCAGGCGUGGCCGCGUGGGGGUGGGGGGAGGGGGUUGGGCUGGGCGGAUUCAGAUAGUAUCCAUUUAACCAUCCGAAAUGUGGAUAUCCGUUUAACAAUCCGUUUAGCAAAACCGAAUUUGGAUACUUCCACUUAAGUAUCCAACUAGGAUUCGAAUGCGGAUGGUCCUACCAUAUUGUUAUUUCAGCGGAUACGAAUAUGGGAUAAUUCGAAUAACGACUUACCCAUCCCUGAUUAUAUCCGUGUAAAUAAAUAAUUGCGGCAGCAGGUUCCCGUCGCCACGCCCCCGUCAAACCAAACAAUUGCUUGCGCGACACCGUGUUACUAGAUCUUGUACAGUACUCCCUCCGUUGCAGUACUCCCUAAUGAAAGUUGAGAAUCGAUCGACAACCACGGCUAGUUGCUAUGCACUCGAUCAGAUGGUCCAGGCGCCCGCUGGUAAUCAGGUCGUGGUUCACGCGCAUCAGGCCAGCUAUGACGUUGCCAGCAGUGCUCAGUACACAAAUCUAGCUAUCAGUCGGAUCCAAUUGGGCAGGCAUUUGCACUGUGGUUGUGUUUGAACCUGUAGAUGUCGUUGUCAUUAUCAGGCACCAUACAUCCUCUCUCAGAGGGUGUUUCACCCCCUAAACUUUAGCCCCUCUCACAUCGAAUGUUUUAGAUACUAAUUAGGAAUAUUAAACAUAGAAAAUUUACUAAACCCAUUACAUGGAUGGAGGGUAAACGGCGAGACAAAUCUAUUAAAUCUAAUUAGUCCAUGAUUUGACAAUGUGCUGCUAUAGUAACUAUUUGCUAAUGAUGGAUUAAUUAGACUUAAUAGAUUUUUCUUGCUGUUUAGCCUCCGUCUGUGCAAUUAGUUUUAUAAUUAAUUCAUAUUUAGUCCUCCUAAUUAGUCUCCGAAUAUUUGAUGUGACACGGACUAAACUUUAGAUAGCACACCAGGGACCGACACCAUGCAUGCUGAUUUCAUAUCAUAAUUAAGGAAAGUGAUAUCAUAAUUAAGGAAAGUGGUAGCAUCCAAGAAAUCGAUCAUGUUUCUUCCCCCUUUGGCUUUCCUACUAGGAUUUGGAUAGCGGGCCUUCCUACUAGGAUUUGGAAUCCGCUAUCGCAUGACUAUCUUAAUUAUGUCCCAUAGUCCAAAACUCACAAAACAUCAAAAAUCCAUCGAGAAUAAAUUAAGUAAAAAACAUGCGCACACAGAUAAUAAUAAUAAUAAUCAUGUUUCAAUAAAAUUGCUAAGAUUAGAGAUAGUACAUAAACAUAUUAGAUUGUUCGUGACACAUAUCAUGGUGGAUAGUGUCUGUGUCCUUAUUACAAGCAGCGAUAGAUGCUUGUCACCACACACACGCACGCACAGAUGCACGACAUACAUAUAGUUGAGACCAACGGAUGGACGUCCCAUAGGGUGAAUAAUUUAUUGGAGAUAAAUAUUAACAUAACUUGGCCAUAGCUUGAAGCAUAGCAACAUAUGCUUAUGAAUGGCAUUCAUGCGGGUAGCAAUGCUAUCAUAUGCUUUUAGGCUUGUCCUUAGCUUCUUCCAUCUUAUAGCAAACACUGCCAUUUCUUCCAUCUUAGCAGCAACUGUCAAAUUAAUUGAGAUAUGGAAAUCCCAUUAGCGCAUGAGUUAAUUUUGCAGUGGAAAUAGAGUAGAAGAUGUCUUCAUAAUGUAAGUAAUAUGACUCUGACAUAGGGAGUGAAGUCAACAAAUUACAUUAACGGAAAUGCAUGGAAGGCCACGCAUAUGUAUUAGUCCGAUAUGCUACAAAGCUUGUAUGUACAUAUAAUAAAUUAAAUGCAUUGAAUAGAGUGAUUUUAGUGAAUUUACCUAAAUCGGAUUAAAAAACAUGGGAAACAACAAGUGUUCUUGUAGGGCUUUGUUUAGUUCCCAAAUUGGGAGUAGCAAAGUUUGCAUUUUACCAUAAAUGCGCAACUAUAGCAUGUAGCAUUUUGUUUGUAUUUGUGAAUUAUUAUCCAAACAUUGACUAAUUAGGCUCAAAAGAUUCAUCUCGCAAAGUACAACAAAACUGUGCAAUUAGUUUUUGAUUUCGUCUACAUUUAGUACUCCGUGCAUGUACCGCAAGUUUGAUGUGAUGGGGAAUCUUGCUUUUCAAUAGUGACAAAGUUGGGAUUUCGGGGGGAAGGCCUGUGUCGGAGCCACAUGCAAGAAUGGCUGACAUUGAGGCUCAGACAAAGCCCAAUGGCAACUGCUGACAUGCGAUUAAAUUUAGAUAUCCACAUCCAGCCAUUCACAUUUAUGAGAUAUGGACACGGUGCAAAUGGGUGGGGUCCUGAUAUGGAGGUGCGAAUGGCUGUCUACUUGUAUAGUGUAGCUCCAAUGUACGUAUAUGUAUCUUAUGCAUGUAUACAGUUGCACAAACUCUGAACCAACUCUUCAUAACAGGUCUUUGUUACCAAGUAACUUUACUUUUGCACGUUUCAGCCGAGAGGUAGAAGAGAAUAUUUUUGCAUUUUCCAUGUGCGUCAGUGGUAGAGAACUAGGAAUUAGUUCCGGAUGGUAGGGCACAAAUCUUCCAAACAACUAUCCGAAAUUAAGCAAUCGAGAUAAAGGGUGCCAUCUAUUCUCUCCGAAAAACACAGGUACCAAAAAGAAGAAGAGAAGAGGGAGGGCCUCCCGUUAAGGCCCGCUCGGGGUCUCCAUCCCACCACGCGCCCUCCCAACCCAAAGCCCAUCGUUUUCCCUCCGUCCCUCCCCUCUCCAUUGCCGCCGCCGCUCCCCUCAUCCGAGCUCGAUACGGGUGGUCGGCGGCCCCUCCUCUCCGCUCCCGCCCCCGGCCUCCCUUUGACCGCCGGGCGCCGGCAUCACUGCCGCGGCCAACCCCAGGGCGCAGCGCGUGCCUCUAUUUCUCUCCCCCGUUCAAGGGCCCUUUGAUGGCGACGAGCACCCACCCACCAGGUAUGCCCUCCCCUUCUCUUCCUAACCCUAAUAUAUUCGGAUCUCACCCAGUCACAAUAUAUUACCUAAUAGCUUCGAUUUUGUUUGCAAAAAUCAUCACGUGCGCACCCAUGUCCGCUAGAUUCUUGCGCCUGAUCCUGUGCUGCUAUGGUUUGGGCGGGGUAGACUAGUUGAUUCGUGCACUUUUGGGUGCUUGUAGUGCUAGGUUUUGGAGGGGGAUAGCCCAGUUGAUUCCUCCGUUUUGGGUGCUCAUGGUGAUAGGAUUUGGAUGGGGAUAGCCCCAAUGAUUCGUGCGCCUUUGGGUGCUGGGGAUAGUUUUGGGUGCCUGGAUAGUCCAGUUUCAAUGUCAGUAUAUGCGUAUUUUGGGGAGAAUUUUGUUUUGGGUGGUUCUGGUGCUAGAGUUUCUGAUGCUUAGUAGCCCAGUUUCAAUCAAAUUCCCCCAUGGGUCGUGCACUACGGGAAACAAGAAAAUUGCCGAGUGUAUUUUUUUUGUCGAGUGUUUUUUUUCGAGCACUCAGCAAACAAGCUCUUCGCCGAGUGCCAAGUCAAAAACACUCGGCAAAAAAAAACACUCGGCAAAUCGGGGCUUUGCCGAGUGUCAAAUAAAAAACACUCGGCAAAGAAGGGGGUUUGCCGAGUGUUAAAAAAAACACUCGGCAAACAGGAGGGUUUGCCUAGUGUUUUUUUGACACUCGGCAAAAAAAUAAUUGUUUUUCCUCUUUUCACCUUGAAAUUUUUUCUACUCCCCACAUACAACACGUGGUACUCCAUGUUAAAAUUUGGUAUAUUUUUGGAUUUAUUUGCUAUAUUUAUUUAAUUAAUUGCAUUACAAGGAAAUUUUUGGUAUAAGUCAAAUUUGAACUGCAAGUGAUUCAAAUUGUGGAACAAAAUGAGUAGAAAAAUGAUAUUCAUGUUAUUUGGCUCAAUUUGAGACCUGACCCAUGAAAUGAAAAGAAAUUUCGAACAUCUUGUUCAGGAAACACGACAAUGAACAUGUGGCGGUAGUAUUUUUAAAUUGUAAAAAAAACAAGCAAAGUCUGAAAAUCAUGAGAUUUGUAGUUAUGUGAUGAUAUAAUACGUGGAAGCUGUGGAAAAAAAUUGGAAAGGUUUUGCACAUUUCAUCAUGUACGAUGAUUACAAACCGAAGCAUAUCAGAAGAAGAAUAGUAACUUUGAGAAGGAUUCGAUAAAAUUUAGAGUCGAAGUGACGGUCGAGUUCGGUUUGACUACAAAACUUUUUGUAUAGUCAGUAGAGAACAUAUCUUAUUUCGUGUGAAAAUUUGGUAUUUUUUGAAACUGUUGGAUAUUUUUAAUUUUUUUUUAAAAAAACUUUGCCGAGUGUCCUAGGGUAGACACUCGGCAAAGAAAAACUUUACCGAGUGCCCGCCUAGGACACUCAGCGAACCUUUUUUUAAACCUACCGGCUCCGGCCGGCCCAGCCCACAAACACCACCCGCCCCCCGCCCCCGCGCCUUCUUCCUCACGCCGCCCCCGCCCCCCACCCGUGCCUCCGGACCGCCCCCUCCUCCCCCUGGCCUCCCCUCACGCCGCCCCCCUCCUCCCCUAGCUCCCUCCACCGGCGGCCCUCCCUCCCCCGGCGCACAUCCUCCACUCCUCCUCCCCUUCCCUUCCCUCCCCUCCCCUCCCCUCUUCCUCCCCUGGCCGGAUCUGGCGCCCCUAGCUCCCCUUUCUUCCGCGGCCAGAUCUGGCGCCCUCCCGGCGGCGGGUCGUGGCGAUCGGGGCGGCGGCGGCGGAUCAGGCCGCGGGGCGGCGGCGGCGGCGGGUCGUGGCUACCGGGGCGGCGCCCUGCCCCUCCCCUCCCUCUCCAUCUCCGGCUGCCGUCCACCCCCUCCCCGGAUCCGCCCCCCUCCCCUCCGCGCGGCCAGCCCCUCCUCCCUCUCCGGCCGCCGCCCCGGCCCCUCCUCUCCCUUUCUCCGGCCACCGCCCCGCCCAUCUUCUCUGGAUCCGGCCGGAUCCGGCCGCCGCACAGCCCCUCCUCCCCGGAUCCGGUGGGCGCGGACUUCGUGGUGGUGGCGCCGGAUCCCUCCCCUCCCUCUCCAGAUAACUCCCUCCACUCCUCCGCUCUUCCCCUCUCUCGCGCGGCGGCCUCUCUCCGGCCGCCGCCCCGCCCCUCUCCCCGGAUCCGGGGGGGGGGGGACUCCGCCCCUCUGCCCCGGAUCCAGCUCCCCGACCCGCGAGUGGGGCGAGCUUGCUCAUGCGGUCGACGUCGAGGCCAGGGUGUGGUGGAGGUGGUGGCCGGCGGGUGUGGUGGUGGUGGCGGCGGCGGGCAUGGCGGCGCGGAGGCAAGGCACGGCGGCCGGUGGGAGGCACGGGUGCAAGGCGUCGACGGCAGGAGGCAAGGCACGGCAGCAUGGGAGGUGGUGCUGUGGUGGUGGUGCUGGCGGUGGUGGCGGCGGCGGAGCAGGAUGUGGUGGUGGCGGAGGAUGUUUUUUUUUCAAAAAUUUGUUGCCGAGUGUUUUCUCGGCACUCGGCAAAGACUUUACCGAGUGCCCGACACAAAACACUCGGCAACUCAGUGUUUGCCGACUGAAAAAUUGCCGUGUGCCGUUUGCCGAGUGUUACACUCGGCAAACGGUUCGCCGAGGGUUUUUUGCCCUUCGCCGAGUGCCCCUAGCACUCGGCAAUUUCACUAUCUCCCGUAGUGGUGGCUGGACUUAUGGGGGGAUCAUUGAUGGGGGACUAGUUGGAUACUUUUUGGCUGUUUUGGGAGUCCUUGGCAGCGGCUUCUCAGGGCGUACGUAGCCCAUUGUAGAUUCCAGCCGAGAAGAUUAAGGAAUUGUGACUGCAACCAUGUUACUUUUCUAGGACUCUGUUUCUGAUAUUGUUCCCGCUGCAUCUUUUCAUCCCCAUGGUGAAUGUUGCUGUUGAUCUGUAGAUUGGAUUUGUUCCUCGGUAGCUUUAUUAGAUUUGUGCUGAAUGAUAAUCUCUGCCUGUGAUAUUUUUCUUCAUUGCGGAUGUGUGCCGAGUAUUAUCCCCUUUGUUCAUUCUGUUGGCUUUUUUUAUUGUCUCUGUACUCGGCUGUUCAGCUUGUGCAGCUAAUGAUCUAAUGUAUUUUGUCGUAACUAUGUAUUUUUCGGAUGUGUGCCGAGUAUUAUCCCCUUUGUUUAUUCUGUUGGCUUGCUUUCAUUGAUCUUAAGAUAACUGGUGCUAUAAAUUCACACUAGCUGAUGCACUUGCAAAUAGCUAUGUAAAUAUGAAAAGAAGUAUUUUUUUAUCCUUUUGUUUGUUUGGCAUCAUAUCUGUUUAAAUGGCAUAGCAAUAAGAAUUUUUUGUUUUUGGGGAAUCAUAUCUGCUUAAAUGGUAUAGAAAAUGCUGAGUGCACUGUCAAAUAGAUUUUCCAGCAGUCUGCUUUCAGUUGUUUUUGCAAAUCCUCACAGGCCAGUGAACUGACUUUGUUUUUACCACCCCAUGCCAUUUAAAUGACUAAAUCAGUCAGCCUAAUACUAUAUAUGGUCAUGCUAUGAUCUUAUUUCUUGAAGCUCUAUAGGUCAACCCAUAAGGGUAACUUAGUUUUUCCUAUUCUGGCUGGGGAAGUGGAUACGAUGGCUAUCCUUGGUAGAGUUAAAUACAUUGGCGGCUCUUAGCGCGCCAAUGUGGCACCACAAUAUCGAACAUAUGUAGAAACCCCCUUGUUUUUUCUCAUAUCCCUCUCUCUCAGCGUCCUCUUCUCUUCUUCUCCUCUGUCUCCUCCCCUCCCAUCGCGUGCUUUAUUGCGCCGCCGCCAUCCGCCUCCAUGUAUGAACACGUCGUUUGUCAUGAAGAAGCAGUUGAUGAGGCAAUCAAGCAUGUGGUGCACAAGGUUCUUCUGCUGGCCAAGUCCGAGUCGAACAGCCGCGCAUUCAUUGGGGAAGCACGCGCCAGGCAUCACCAGGCUCCUCGUGCCCCUACUCUGCUCCAAGGACUCGGUGCUUCGACGCGCUGCUUUCCCUGUCCGGCGAGCGGGGAUCGUUGGGAGAUGAUCGAUGGAGGAUGGAGCUGAUCCUCCUGUACACGGUGCCGGUGGGGAGCAGGGAGCUGCGGAGCAGGUCCACGGGCGGCGCCAUUACAGCAGGUGCAGGCUAAGGGUAAUGAGCAGAUCGAGGCGAUGGAGGAGGACCCGCACGAGGUGCAGCUUCUUCGCCUCCUGCGCAAAGUCAGCGCCCAAGCAGCCGCUGAGGGACAGGCCGAGGCUUAGCUCGAUCUCAUCCGACUAAAUGGUGGCUGCACUCCCACAGUCCCACUGGUGCUCCUCCCUUCUGUCCGAACCUGCCGAGGAAAUCCCUCGAUGCCAUGGGUCCCGGCUGGACGACUACUCCUCCCACAGAUUGACUGAGGAAGAAGAGCUUCUCAGUGUCCAAAAAUUCAGUUACACUGGAAACAGCAACCAAUUACGUUCUUCCGGCUCAGCCAAGCCCCAAUCUCCUUGCUUCUGUGCGCCCCUGCUAAAUAUUCCAGAAACCAAUCUGGUUAGUUGUUUUUUCACAUUUUCAGUGCAUGCCGGUGCUGCUGUGUGCGGCAUGCAUGGAGUUGUCGUGGGAGUGCACGGUGGCUUAGCUGGUGCGCCAGUGCGCGGGCACGAACACAACGGUGAAGAUGGCAGGGCCAUCUCAAAGCUCCUGAGCACCUGCACGCGUCGCUGAGCAGGACAUGCUGCGACGGUGGGCGAGCGCUGCUAACGCCCUGGGGAAGAGCAGUGGGUGCAGAGAGAGGGAGCGAGGGAGAGGGGUUCUUGUAUAUGUUUGCUAGCGUGGCACCGUUUACGGUGCCCGCCUAAGUGGCAUUCACGUGUCAUUCAUCCCAAAUGGUGUUGCAAGGUUGAACCUAUUGUGGGAGGCUUUUGGUUUCCCUUGACAGUAUCACCAGUGAUAUCACUGCGUUCUGGUUAUGUAUGAAACACUUGUCCUUUUAAAACCUUUCUGAAUUUAGAAACGAAUUUGAAACAUUACCCUCAUUUCCAUGUUUUUCUAUCUUUUGUCCCUGUAAAAUCAAACUAAAUUUGAAUUAUUAUGUUCAGAACUACAAGCUGAUUUACUUGUCCCAUUUGCUAAUAACAGGGCCUUGUGAUUUCUAAUGAACAUUGCAGAGCAUGUUAUAAAGCGUAUGCAUGAACACCAAGGGGAUGAAACCAUUGGUAUAUUUCUCACAACCUUUUGAACUUAUCAUUUAGCAUAUUUGUGUUCUAGUGUGACGUUUCAGCCACGAGACAUGAGAAAUGUUAGCUAUGGAUUUUGGUUAUUCAUCAUGGGUUCACAGAUUUGUUUUUCUCUAAAAGAAUUGGGAAGUAGCUUUCUUUCUGGGUAUAUGUGGGGAAAUGCAUAUGCAAUCUUUUAUUUAUUGAGGUGACUGUAAAAUUCUUGUCUGACUGAAUAUGCGAUUUCAACCUACAUGCUAUACUUAGGGAAAUUUGUGAAUCUCCUAAUGUCUGCUGCAUGGCAUGAAUGCAUAUUUUACUGGUCCAUAAUGUGAAGUUCUGUAUAUAAACUUCUCGUGUUGACCCUUUAGAACAUGCUAACUGGAGAGUUUUCUAGAGUAGUUAAACAAGAGAUUUAGUUAAAUCUGCACACAUAGGUGGGGCCUGGCAUACCCUAAGAAUCGGCCUAGCCGGUCAGCCCAUUAGUAAAAAAAAAAGCACCGCAGUCAGCAGUCCCCACGUUGGUCUUCCUCGAGUCGCGACUCGCGAAGCUCCCAUCCUCCGAGUCCAAGAUGGUGGACUGUGUCGAGCGCGGGGCGGGCGAUUAGUUGCCCGGCCGCCGGCGGGGGAUGGCCGGACGGCCAGAUCGCCGACUCCUCUAGUCCUCCCUCCAGCCUCUGCGCUUCUUUCACAGUGGAGCUAGCGGCGAGGCGCCCGACCGACACCCUUCUUCCCAAAUCCCGGCAGCCCUACCUCGAUUUGGCCUCCUCCGAUCAUUUGAUAAUCAAUUUGAUGAAAUUAAUAUGGAGUUGCUUUCUUGUAUGGUUGCCUUCAAUCCUGCUAAUUCAUUUGCUUCAUUUGAUGCACAAAAGAUACAUAGACUUGCUAUAUUUUUAUCCACAAGACAUCACAAGCACGGAUUUGCUAAAACUUGAAUUCCAGCUCGAUAUUAUAUUGAUGAUGUGAGAUAGGAUGAUAGUUUCAAAGGCCUACAAGAUCUUGUUAACUGAGACUCAGUUAAGCUUGUUGAAACAAACAGGCAUAAUAUUUAUGACUUGGUUUACUUGCUUCUCAAAUUGGUAUUGGUUCUUCUUGUGGCGACAGCUAGUGUUGAAAGGGAUUUUUGUGCAAUGACUUUGAUCAAGAGUAAGCUAAGAAAUAAGAUGGGUGAUAGUCUUUUGGAUGAUUGUCUUAUCACAUUCAUUGAGAAAGAUAUUUUCUUUGAAGUGGAUGAAGAAGAUAUAAUUAAGACUUCAUAUCCAUUAGAAAUCGUAGGCUGGAGAAGAAGUAAUAUUUUAAUUUUCUUUGAACGUUAGGUCUGUAAGCUUCUUUUAAACUAUCUACAUUAUAAUUUAUGGACCUUUUAAUUUAACCGUUGAAUUCAUGAUAUUAUGAGAUUUUUUUAUCUAUGUUAUUAUUGUUUACCGAUUUAUUACCAAAUUAUUAGUUUGAUCUUACAAUAUUGUAUUUUGGAUGAUUGGCUCGGCAUACUCUAAGUUUAAAUCCUAGCUCCGCCACUGUUUGCACAUUAAUGUGGCUUAUAUGUGUGGAGUCACUUAACCUAUGCACUUGGACCUCCACUCCCUUAGGUUUUAUGAACCUAAUUUGACAGCCUGCUCGUCUUUUAUUUUCUACCAAUCAGCUAGGAACGAACAUGGUGAUGUUUGCAUCUCUGCCAUCAAUGGCUUACAUGUCAUUAUGUAUCACAUUAGCAAGUCUUGUUUUGUUAUUGGCUGGGAUGACGGGGACUCUAGCUGGAAUUGAAUCAAAGUGGUAGAUCACAGGGUAUUCAUUGCCAUGUAUUUCUGCAGUUGCAUGGACUUGCAUCAAACGGACCUUCCUACUUAUGUGAUUGUCCUAUAUGAUCUCCUUUGAUUUCAUUUGCACACUGUAAUCACAUUAGCUAGAACACUCGCUUUUUGCUUCAAAUUUGAAAUUCAUAUCAUGAUGGACUAGAACGCUGAAUUUCUUGAUUGCUGAGUUACUAAUCACAUUGUGGCGCUGCCAAAGAAGCUGGACUCUUCAUUGUUGUUGCCUUGUGGGCUGCCGUGUGCAAAGAACAAGAGCGCACGGUAUUAUAAUAGCAGAGCAGAACACAGACAAGCGACAAGGAGCGGAGCAGAGCAGAGCACAGCCAGGCACAAGCAGUAGAGUAGAGCAGAGCAACCGGGAGAGGAGAGGGCACAUAUGCAGAGUAGAGCAGAGCCAAGCGCAAGCAUUCAUGCACUCAAGCAUGCAGCAGAGGUGUAGCAAGGCAAGCACAAGCAGCAGAGCAGAGGGAAGGGAAGGCUGGGAGAUGAAUAGGCGAAUAGUUACCUGGACAGAGCAGAGGGAAUGGAGAUGAUGCAGAUGCUUCCGGAGACUCGAGAUUUGGAGAGGAACAAGGCCACGUUGUGAACAAGGUCUCCUUUCUCUUCUCUAUUUCCCGCGCAAGUACUUGUGCAUAGUGGCUGCCUCAUCCUCCAGGACGUCCACUUCAACCUGAGGCGGGUGCCACAGACAUCCUGGCUAUGCGACGGCUACCCCCAGCACACCCCCGGCGCCUAUGAACCAUGAUCCUAAUACUAUAAAUUGUCAACCUUGUAAUCUUAUUUCAAGCAUGCUCUCUAUGUCAACCUGUAAGGUUAACUUCGUUUUUCCUUUUCUGGGUAGGGGAGUGGAUAUUGCUGUUAUUUAUAUUAUGUUGAUAUUGGUUUCCACAUGUCAUUCACCCCAAAUGUGUUGCAAGGUUGAACCUAUCAUCGGAGGAAUUUUUUUCCCUUUACCUUUAUAUCACUACGCUCUGGUUAUGUAUGAAACACUUGUCUUCUUAAAAACCUUAAUUUAGAAACAAAUUUGAAACACUAUCUUCAUUUACAUCCUGUAUGUGUUUUCUACCUUUUGUCCUAUAUGAUCUGCUUUGAUUUGAUUUGUGCAUAGUUUUUUCAAUUCAGACCUGGUGAUUUCUGAGGUUCAUGUUGUGCUGAUAAGCAGCCUACUAUUCAGUAACACUUUCAUGUGGCAUGUUCAUGUUAGCUAGCUAGAAACACUGCUUUUAGCUUCAAAAUUCAAAUUCAUGACAUGAUGGACAUUGACAAUGAAUUUCUUGAUUGCCGAGCUAUGUACACUGUAAUUCAGACCUGGUGCUUUUAGUUUUUUUCUUGAUUGCCGAGCUAGAAACACUGUGCUUUUAGUUUUUUCAAUUCAGACCUGGUGAUUUCGGUUUUUUCAAUUCAGACCUGGUGAUUUCUGAGGUUCACGUGUCACACCGAUUUUAAGAACAAAAUCGAGUGCAUUAAAUAUACAUGUACGCUAGGAUCAGGUUACACACAUGUACGACAUAAGCGAAUAUCAAAGACAAUGCCAUAACGAAAUAAAGAGAGUAUUAAUCAUUAUUACAUGACCGAAAGUCUCAAAUAAACCACAAAAUCUAUUUAUUACAUAGCGGAACUUCUAAGAUAGCAACGUCUCCACAGGCAGCUGACUGAAGAACUGUAUGCCUAGAACUCUUCAAAAUCGUGCAGGUACUCCUCCAGAUUAGCUUGGUAUGAACAACGGUUUUGCAAGGGUGAGUACACUUAUGGUUGGUACUUAAUAAGUCGUGGGAAACAAUGUAGUGUAAGGCAAAUCAAGGUAUGGCUAAGGCUUAAACAGCAUCAGCUUUUAAUUUAGUUGGUCAAAUUUUAUUAGCAAUUAAUUAGACGUAAAUUUAUACCACCCGAAAUUAAACAAGAACAUGAAUAAAAUAAUAACAUAACCAUAAAUGAAAUGACAACAAUUUAAAUCCAUCUUUUCAUAGCAUUAUCAUGUGAGGGUCCAGUCCGUUCUUAACCGUGAGCACCGCUGAUCGAUCAGUUUUACACUCUGCAGAGGUUGUACAUCUUUACCCACAAGUCGCGUAAAAGUUCAAAAGAAUUUUGGACCCAACCAUGCGGUAUUUGCAAGGCACCAUACCACACUUCCAAGGUGUGAUUGCAUAUGAACGCUACGAGGCCUUUACAAAGAUUCAUUAGUAAGUGGUAACCCGCUAAGGUUUCGGUAUUUGGCGUGCACAACCUAUCACAGGCCGCUAAUGCAACGACUCAGUCCCCCCUCUUGCCUCAUCACGAGUAAGAUUACCCCAGACUAAGGUUUCUAAUUAUUCAGCCAAGAUCAGAACCAUUUAGUCUUGUGGUAGCACUGUUUUCCUGGGUGGUUCUCCAUGUUCCGAUUAAACAUAAUGGUCUUGUAUUAAUGGAAGGUAUAACAUAAAUAAUACCAAAUUAAUAAUAAUUCAGAUUAAAUCACCAUAACCAUAUUUGAGCACUAAGCAUGAGCUACCCAACAUAAAUUUAACCCGGUUGGUCAAGGCAAGGUAGAUAAAGUCUAGGAAAUUCUUAAUUGGGACCCAUCAAGUUUAAAUUAUACUUUGCAUGGUAUGUUGCAUAGAACAUGAAAGUAAAUGUGAAUAGGACUGAAAAGGAGUGAUUAGGGACACGACUUGCCUUUUUAACCUUGUUCUUGCUGUUCGUACUCUUCGAAAACUUUGAUCUUCAAAUCCCUUGAACUGCUGACCGUCUACACGCGUCACACGACCACAUACAAGCAAACAAAUAUAAUACAUAAGAAAACAGUACACCAAUCAUAAUUAAAUAGAAGAAACAAAUUUGAAAAGCUAUUCUACGCAUUAAAACGAAAACACGGAUACAAGGAACGUUAAAAACGGAGCUACAGUGCAAAAACUACGCUUAAAACAAGAUGCAGGGGUAUAACUACGAGAAACCAAACUUCCAGGGAUUUAAUUUUAAAUAAUUUUGAACUGCAGAAGGGGCAGCAGGGCAAAACGUAGAAAAUGCAGGGGCUUAAGCGCAAAAGCAUGGCUGCUGACUCAGCUGACUUGAUGUGGAUCGUCGGAUGGCGAUCCGGCGGCCGGCAGCUGCUGCGCUGACGUCAGCGACGGCGAGCGCCGGCGAAAAACGGCAGUUCGCCGGAAUCGCCCGGGAACGCGCGACUGGGUGCAGAUUUGAGCGAGGAUUAGACUAGCAGAUAGAAACGAGCGCAGUGAACUCAUUUGGGAUGCCUACGGCGAGGACUUGGCGACGGCAUCGGCUCCGGCGAGAACUUGCGGCAGGGAAACCAAAUAAAAUAAAAUAACACGGUUCAGAGAAGCGGCGCUGGAGGAACGCGAGCGAUUUUGCGUGCGAGCGGAAGAAAACACUGCGAGGAAGAUGACUGCGGGCCCUGCUUGUCUGCGGCAGGAGGAGAGCUGCGUGCGAGAAGAACCUGGCCACGAUCUGGGCCGUUGCCUUCGAUCUGGGCCGAGGCAAGCUAGCUGGCCCGCUGCUGCGGAAAGGUGCUGGGCCACGGGCGGAGCACAGCGUCGGGCCAGAAAGGAGAUGGCUGCUGCGAGGAAACAAAAGAAAAUGAACUGGGCUGCGACAGAGGAAAACUGGGCGUCGGCCAGAAAGAAGCUGCGUGCAGCUUGCUCUUGUUUCCGAACUAGAAACAGGAACUGACGGAAAGACAGAAAUCAAUUGGAGACUGAAACUGACGCCCCAGACUCUGAACUUCGAAAAAACAGGACAACCAGCCAACUGACAGAAAAAAAAAAGCUUAACAACCCAAAAGCAGUACACAACCACGAAACCAGGCCACAAGACUGAAAAAGCUUGAUAGGAACAUCUGGCGACUGAACCAAAAAACUACAGAACUGCAACUGAAGAACUAGAGAACAGAUAAAUAACUGAUUGAACUCUGAAACUGAAACACCAAAGAGCAGGAAGCUGACUGACGGAAAAUGCAAAACAGCAACCCAAGGUGAAACACAAAUUCUUCUUCAAGCAUUCAAACAAAGAGAUAUGCAACAGCAUGAAUGCUCAAUAAAAUCCUAUAUUUCAUUAAUUAAUUAGAAAAAAUGCUCAAAUGCCUAGAAAAAUGCAAAAGUGACCUUAUAUGCCUUAAACAAGCAAAUUCGUUUCUAGCGAUUUUUGGUAAAAUGCAAAAUUAGAGAUUUUGGGUGUUACAUCAUGUUGUGCUGAUAAGCAGCCUACUAUUCAGUAACACUUUCAUGUGGCAUGUUCAUGUUAGCUAGCUAGAAACACUGUGCUUUUAGCUUCAAAAUUAAAUUCAUGACAUGAUGGACAUUGACAAUGAAUUUCUUGAUUGCCGAGCUAUGUACACUGUAAUCACAUUGUGGGGCUGAUAAAAUAAGCAGCGUUGAGACACAUAACAAUUGAAUCUUAAGCUUCACACAGAAUCUGGACCAGUCAUCCUCAUUCCUGUCAUGCUGGAAAUGUCUUUGAUACAUUUCAAUCACAGGCAAUUGAAUUCGUACUGGGGAGGAUGGCAAUGGUGCAUGAAGAGAGAUCAAUGUGGCAAAUCUCACAUUGUUCAUUACCAGGUAUCUCCGAUUUCUGGUUAUUUUAAAUUUACCUUGACAUGUGACUUAUUGAGGUAUUGUAUUUCAUCUAAUGGUAGUUCUGAAUUUAUGGUAACCUUGGAUGGGGUUUGUCACUUUAUACACGCACGGACUUACAAAGGACAGCAAAUGAGUAUAUUUAGAGGGCUCCUGUCCAACCAUGGACUAUACUUAUGUACCCUUUUUUGACAUGGUAAUUUGAGGUUAAUGGAAAAGUAGCGAUAGUCGCCUCCAGCGAAGCUACCUUCUUCGAAAGCUCCGAGGCUGCUUUCUCGCUCUUAGCAAGCCGAUCCCUCGUAAUCAUCGAAGAGUAAGAGACCUACAGAUUUUAAAAACCAAGUUACCAAAAAUAACGAAGUAAAAGACAACACUCGCAAGACAAACCACCAAACUAUCUCAUAAUUGUACCUUCUUUACGAGGUUCGCCUCCAAGUUAAAGAGCUCUUCCAAGAUCAUUGACUUCACAGCUUGCUGAAAAUCUAUGCGCCAAAGGAUAUAGUCGUAAGCAUAAAAUAAAAAUUGGUAAAAACCAAGGACAGCAAAGCCAUCUACAAGCUGUUCUUACCCUCAUACUUUCGCACCUCAACGGCGAUCGGAACAACCUUCUCUCUAGCCUCGCCCUUAGACGCCACCACAAUCUUCCCGCCACACAAAUCCACAACCCCUCCUUUACCUUUGCCCUCUCCCGAAGUCGUCGUGCCCGCCUUCUCCACCCUUUUUGAACCGCCAACAUCUGCAUAGCGCUCGCAACCUUCACCUUCAGCCCCCCAGACCAAAGACAGGUUGUGAGGAUUAUAAACCCUACCUUCGGCGCAUGUAGCUAGAAUCUCCGUGCGCCCGCUCAAGCCCAGACACUCAUUCAGUCCCUGAAGCCCCGCCGGCAACCUCUCACCUACAUCAUAACAUUCAACUUUUAGCCUCACAUGAUCCUCACAACUAACCUUACCAACGCCCCCCAUAGUUUCUUCCAAGUCCUUCAAAAAUUUCGUUGAGGCCUCACCACAAUCAAAGAACCGUAGCAUCGAUAGAAACACCUCUACAUGCUUACCAGAUCUCACAGCUUCGGCACACCCACCCUUUGGAUCAGAUGAGAACGCAUCCACAAGCUUCGCCUUUUCGGUGGCAAACCCCCUCUCAAGUUUCCCAACAUCAGUCAAGAGAUGUUGCGCGCUCUUAAACUUCGAGCUUAUGGAAGGCACCGUGAUCUUGGUACCAGCUGCCGAAGACGCGUCAACCUUGGCACCCGUAACAGUAACAGGAGCAAAUCGAGGUUUCUUGGCGCCUCUUUUGAUCCGUGCGGCGGGCCCGGUGGAUGAAGGUGCAAGAGCUGGAACCUCCUUAGGAGGGCGCAUAGAGACAGGAACAACAUAUGCCGGAUUGCUCAAGUCGCCAGACGAAGCUGUCGACCACGAUGGCAACAUAGCAGACGAAGCCCCCGCGGUCAUUUCCUUCCUUUUUUGCGCCUCCAAAUUCAAGGUCUUUUGCUUCGCCUUAGCGGUCACUUGCAAUUCAAUAGUGAGCUUCACCAUGGGUACGAAGUCAAAUUUUGCCUUUUUCCUCUGCUCAAGACUAGCACCGCGACGGCGCCUCUUGCCCGUAACUUUGGGGUGAGGCAGAACCACAAUAUCAUACAAGUCAAAAAUCUAAGAUGAUGACAUUCCAUUUGUAUCCAUGAUUUAUAUUGUGUUCCUUGAAUAUCCAUUAAAGUCUACUUGAAUUGAUUUGCAAUUAUGUGAAUUGUAUGUGAAACUCUUUCCUUGUAUGGUUAUUCUAAAGUUGUCCCUAGUCGGAGUUCAUGUGAGGACACAUGAAUAUUAGACUAGCACAUGUAUUAGUUGAUGACUAUGUUUCACAAGUCAUGGACAUGAAGAUGUGGAACUAAUAAUGUGGGCACAUGUGGAGACACGUGCUAGGACUGACCCAACACGAGAAGUAGUUCUCUCUUUAUACAACAUAUACGCUUUGUCCUUAGACCUGAGAUUGUCGCAUGUACUCAAGAUGUGGAUCGACUUACUUAGGGGCUAUCAAAUUCUACGCCGUAACAGGGUAGUUAUAAAGGUAGCUUUCGGGUUUGUCAAGAAGCAUGCUAUGAGACAUGGUCAAUCAAGAUGGGAUUUGCCCCUCUCUGAUUGAGAGUGAUAUCUCUGGGCCCCUCGAGUGAUCGGAUCCGAAAAUGCAUGGCCAUGCUACAUACGAUUAAGAGUUAGCCUACAAAAGGAUUCCGAAUCAUAGGAUCGAGAAAGAGCGGUCGGCUUGAAGCUAGACCAAAUAUCGUGAGGCAAAGGGAAUAGCAUGUAUAUAAUGUUGUGAUGGUUCGUCUGAUAUGAUCUUCGUGUGCGUAUAGGAGUUGGCACGUCUUGCUAGAGGUCGCUACCGACUAUUGGGCCGAGUAGGAGUACUCAGGCCAUGUCUAUACGUAUCCGAACCCAUAGGGUCACACACUUAAGGGGCUGGAAGCCCAAUUCGGAUGUGAUCCGAAUUGGAUUAGGUUUAGAAGUACUAAUGGGCCUUGGACCUAGAGGCCCGUUAGGAACCUCUAUAAAUAGAGGGGUGGGGGCGCCCUAGGGUUUACACCUUUUUGGUGAAACACAUCUGCCGCGCCUCCCACGCCUUCGCCUGUUGCAACUCGCGGACCUAGCAGUCCGGCUUGCGACGCUUCCUCCCUGCACGUGUGGAUACCUUGGAAGUGUUGCUCCUGCAGCACUUGGACGAGCCGCCAACGAGCCACGACGAGCCACGAUGAGCCGACGAUGAGCCGCGGCACGAGGGGGAUCUUGCUGCACGUGGACGAGCUGCUGAGGAGCUGCUGGACGUCGAUGUGUUCGACUACGUACGACUACGCUGAUCGACUUCGCUGCAUCAACGCGAAUCUACAUCUUCCGCAUCAUUGCAUCGAGUGGUAAUCCCGUGAUCCUGAUACGGCAGUUUUCCUAGUUUACGCGGUAGAAAAUUUUGUUUUGUGCUAGUGUAGCCUAACUCAUAUCCCAACAACGUGUGCUAUAGGUCACGCAAGCCUGAAAAUGGCCACACCGGACACCGGGUACGAAAACAUGGGGGAUGGACCGAACAUUUGAAAAUGGCCUCCAUAUGUGUUUUCGGCUAUGAAAAUGUGUGUUAUAGGUCACAGAAGCUUGAAAACGGCCGCACCAGCCACUAGGGACGAAAACGUGGGGGAUGGACCAAAGACAUAAAAAAUAGCCUCCAGACGCGUGUUCGGCCAUGAAAACGUGUGGUAUAGGUCCUGGAAGGCCAAAAACAGCUACACCGGCCACCUGGGACGAAAAAGUUUGUGUAAGACCGAACACUUGAAAAUAGCCUCUGGACGCGUGUUCGGCUAUGAAAAGGUGUGUUAUAGGUCACACGAGCCCCAAAACAACCACAGCGAACACCAGCUACAAAAACAUGGGGGAUGGAUCGAAUAAUUGAAAAUGGCCUCCAGACGUUUGUUCGGCCAUGAAAUCGUGCGUUAUAGGUCGCGGGAGCCCGAAAACGGCCACACCGGCCACCGGGAAUGAAAAUGUGGGGGAUGGACCGAACAAUUAAAAAUGGCCUCCGGAUGUGUGUUCGGCCAUGAAAACGUAUGUUAUAGGUCACGGGAGCAUGAAAACGGCCGCACUGGCCACUGGGGACGAAACGUGGGGGAUGGACCGAAGACGUGAAAAUAGCCUCCAGACGCAUGUUCGGCCAUGAAAAUGUGUGCUAUAGGUCAUGCAAGGCCAAAAACAGCUGCACCAGCAACCGGGGACGAAACCAUGGCUGUCAAACCGAACGCUUGAAAAUCGCCUUCGGACGCGUGUUCGGAUAUGAAAACAUGUGUUGUAGGUCACGCGUGCCCGAAAACGUCCACAACGGACACCGGGUACAAAAACGUGGGGGAUGGAUCGAAUAACUGAAAAUGACCUCCGAACGCGUGUUCGGCCAUGAAAACGUGUGUUAUAGGUUGCGGGAGCCCAAAAAUGGCCACACCGGCCACCGAGGAUCAAAACGUGGGGGAUUGACCGAACAAUUAAAAAUGGCCUCCGAUUGUAUGUUCGGCCAUGAAAACGUGUGUUAUAGGUCAUGGGGGCCCAAAAAUGGCCGCACCAGCCACCAAGGACGAAAAUAUGGGAGAUGGACCAAAGACAUGAAAAUGGCCUCCAGAUGCAUGUUUGGACAAAAGUGUGUGCUAUAUGUCGUGCAAGGCCAAAAACAGCUACACCAGCCACCGGGACAAAAACGUGGGUGUUUGACUAAACAAGUGAAAAUGGCCUCCGGAAGCAUGUACGGCUAUGAAAAUGUGUGCUAUAGGUAAUGGAAGGCUAACAAAAGCUACACCGGCCACCGGGGACAAAAUCAUGGGUGUCAGACUGAACACUUCAAAAUGGCCUCCGGACGCGUGUCCGGCUAUCAAAACGUGUGUUAUAGGUCAUGCGAGCCCGAAAACAACCACACUGAACACCGGGUACAGAAACAUGGGGGAUGGACUGAAUAACUGAAAAUGGCCUCUAGACGCGUGUUCGGUCAUGAAAACAUGUGUUGUAGGAUGCGGGAGCCCGAAAACGGCCACACCGGCCACCAGGGCAUGGACCAAACAAUUGAAAAUGGCCUCCGGAUGUGUGUUCGGCCAUGAAAACGUGUGUUAUAGGUCACGGGAGCCCAAAAAUAGCCGCACCGACCACUGGGGAUGAAAUCGUGGGGGAUGGACCGAAGAUGUGAAAAUGGCCUCCAGAUGCGUGUUCGGCCAUGAAAACGUGCGCUAUAAGUCAUGUAAGGCUAAAAAUUGCUACACCGGGACUAAAGCAUCCCCCAUGAGUUACAAUAAAAGGAUUGUAUCCUCUACUCAGUCGGAUGUACUGUGUAGGUGAGAUGGUAAGGAAGCUAUGCGCGAGGUUUGAGGUUGUGGGUUGAAAUCCUACGCACCGCGCGCACACGCGCAUAUUUUGUGUGAAAAAUCAUGUGACUUGUGAUCGGCCAAGGAGAAGUGGGUGCAGCUGUGGCUUAAGUGGCUGAGGCACGCUGCCAUAGACAUCUCCGAUUUGCUCGAAGACUACCAAGACACUAGCAAUAACAAGAACUACUGCUCUUCCUAGCAGACUCUUUACAACCACUUUAAAGCUGUGCAUUUCUCAAUGUAAUUUCGUAGAAGGCAAUCGAUCCAACCAAGCGACUAAAUCAUUUGUUCUUGCCAAUGAUGUACAUCAGGUUUUCUAUAUGAAGGACAUGUCUAGCAAACCUAAGAUUUUAGAAGAAAAAGAAAAAUUAUGGGAGUCAAUAAUAAAUCAGGCCAAUCAGGAGAUUAUAGUAAGCUCGAUGGUAUGCCUCCAUUCGAUGUCGAAGUUGGCCCAAGCAUCAUGUUAGCCAAAGAUCAAAUGUUCGUGCAUUGCUACGGUAAAGAUCAAUUGUGUCUUUUAAACCCAUGGAAUUUUUUAUCUAUGUUUUUAUUACACUUAAUGGAUGUCUACACAUUUGCUAGAAAAUCAAAAUAAUUUUGACUUAAUUAUUUCUUUCAACUCAAAUACUCAUUAAAUUUCUACCUUUUUAUUUAAGCAAGAGAGUUGCUCAAAAAAUGGAUACGUAACCAUGUUGUAUCAUACAAAGCAACCACAUUUCACAUAUAGUCUGGCUUAGCAAACACCAUUGUUGUCUUAACAUAGUGUUCAUGAGUUAGUAGACAUGGAUCUAUUUCUAAUUGCAAGUAGUGCAGCGUACAACCAGCCUGCACCGCCGCAGCUCAAUAUGCGAUAAUUUUUUAUCUUCCCAUGUAAUUUUUCUACUCUAGUACAUAUUGAACUCCACAUAAAUGUCAUGUUCUUUCACGCCACAGACGGUUUCUAAAGUUUGGAACUAAAUAGAUAGCCAAAAAUUUUAAAAAAAUAUUUAUAUGGAUACAUGUAUGUUCUUUGCAAACUAACAAUAUUGUUUACAAUAUCAAAAGGAAUAUGGCUAUGAUCAUUGCCGCAUAUGGCAGGUGAUGGUAGAUGCCGUAUGGGGUUUCUUUAACUUAAUUGUAUAAUAAGCUGAAAUACAUUUUCUAUUUGCAAAUGAAUCAUAGCUGAAAGUGGUGGGAUUGUAGAACCGCCGGCCAUCGUGUCCUUGUAGGACCGCUGCACGAGCCUGUGAGCCACCAGCCACCAUGCGCCCAAGGGCCAUCACCACGCCAUAAGAGGAUGCUGUCUACCCGGUUUCGCGCGCCUGUGCUAGCUGCCUGAACCUGGGCCGCCGCCGGUCGCCUGCCCAGCCGCGCGUUGCGCCAGGGUUUUGCUGGUGACGACCAUGGCCUUCGCGAUCAAAUUAAAAAGUUAUCAACUGCAAAGUAUUAGGUCUCGUUGAGCUCUACAAUUUUGAUAUAAAGUUUCUAUUCAUCCGAGAUCAAAUAAAAAAUUUGAUACUCAAAGCAUAAAUCCAUUAAUCUAGUCUUGCUAAUCCUUACCACCAAAUAAAAAACUAGCAUGUGUUGUGUGUUUGUGACCCUAAACGAUCACAAAUGAAUAACUUAUGGGCCUUGCUAGCGCCCGGAUGUCCAGGCCGGGGCACUAGCAUCAGACCCACGAGUAGCCGUCCGAUCAGGUUCGACACCACUUCAGGAUCUGGCUUAAAAAGAAGUCCCACCGAAACAUUGUUCCAUGUUGCAUGAAGCAACCCACUACCGUCGCCAGGUCUAGAGCAAGCACCACCUUCAAAUGUGCUGCUCACCCUAGCUAAAUAGGGGCAUUAAAAUAUUUCUCGCAUAUCCUUCUCAAAUUAAACAAAAUCGCAACAUCUGAAAAUUUUUACAGAAAACCAUGAAACAUAUCGAUUAGAUAGAUGUAACAAGAUGGAAUAUGGUAUAUGCAACAUAUAGGUUCCGAAAAGCAGAUGAAAUAUUAUGUAAUGAUUCUUGAAACAGUCAAGAAAAAUAGAUGUAACAUCUAAAAUUAAGAAAAGAAGCUUUAUGCAAAUUGCAAAAAGCUGAAACAAGUGGUUGAAACAUUUCAAAUCACCAAAUGCCACAUUUGAAAUGACCAGAUGAAACAUCACGAAAUCAAUUGCAACAGUUGAAGAUGAAAACAUUCAAAUGCCUUGCCUUUCUCCAAAUUUGACCCUCCAAGCAUGAGUCCAGCCAUUUGCACAUUAGACCCUUGGGAGGAGCUCACCGGAGAACAACAAGACCGUGUUAUCCAACAAUUUUCAGAUCAAAUUGCAACAUAAAGAACAAAGCAUUGCAACAUCUGGCAUCACGAGCUACAACAGCAACCAGUUAGGAUCAGGAGAAAGAGGGCAAACACAAGCCUAACAAUGAGUUAUAUCCGGUUUAAACAAGGAUAAAAAUGAGUGUAUUUUACACUCAUCAUGUUGUCUUUUCGCAGCUGUACCGCCUUUAGCGUGUUGUAUUGUUCCUAACACCAAGUCUCCGAGGCCCGAAAAAAUAAGGAAAGUGGUAGCAGCUCAGAAAUCGACUAAGUUUCUUUCCCCCUUUGGCUUUCCUACUAGGAUUCGGAAUCCUCUUUCGUAUGACAAUCUUAAUGAUCUCCCAUAGUCCAAAACUCACAAAAACAUCAAAAAUCCACCGAGAAUAAAUUAAGUAAAAAAACAUGCACACACAGAUAAUAAUAGUAAUCAUGUUUCAUUAUGAUUGCUAAGGUCAGACACAAUACAUAAACAUAUUAGACUGAGUGACCCACCUCACCUCAGAGUAUGCACCAUGUCUGAGUGACCCACCUCACCUUGCCAGGACACUGGUCCUGCCCUCGUGGUUCACGCGCCCUCGUGGUUCAGCAGUGGUCAGUACACAAAUCUAGCUGCCAGUCGGAUCCAAGGGCAGGCAUUUGCAUUGUGGUUGUGUUUGAACAUGGAGAUGUCAUUAUUAUUGUCAGGCACCAUACAUCCUCUCUCAGUUUCACUCCGCCUCACACACGGAUAGCACACCAGGGACCCGACACCAUGCAUGCCGAUUUCAUAUUAUUAAUAUUUAAUUUUUUUAAUGGUUGUUGAAACUAUAUUGUUGAUAUUUUUAUACAUAAUUUACGACCUAAUUUGGAUAUAUUUUUGAAAUAUUCCGAAAUCUUAAAUUCACACGUCUAGAGAUACAGUUAGUCCAAUCUGAUGUUUCCGAUUAUAAAAAUGAACAUAAAGAGAUAGGAAGCGAGAGACGUGAGGGGGAAAGUUAAAUUAGGGCCUAAGGGGUGAAGUUAGGGUUCCAGGUGAGCUGUCAUCACUACGUGUUUUUAAUCGAAAUUGGAAUGUCAGCAAUCGUCAGAUCUUGAGCCAACAGUUGAGACUGCCUCGGAAUGGUAAUUAGGUCUGCGCGAGCUUGCAUUGUGGCCUUCCUUGAAACCUUGGACAUAGGUGUUAUAUUAUUAUGUUCUUGCCAGCACACAGCAGUGAAGGACGACACAGUUGAGAUGUGCAUCACAUUUUCUAUAUGAAGGAUAUGUUUAGCAAACCUAAGAUUUUAGAAUAAAAAGAAAAAUCAUGGGAGCCAAAGCGCCACAUAGUUCUUCCAGGUAAAAAAAAAUCAUCCACUGGACCAGCACAUAGUAACGAUCCAAAAAGUCCAUAUUAAGAUUUUUUGAUAGCAGAAAAAACAUAAAAUGUCUAAUAUUUGUAGUAUUAAAAGGAAAAAUAAUAUAUUCACGUGACCUUUUUCCCGUAGCAAGGCACCGGUACGUGGUCAGACUUAAUGCACGAUGCCUAAGCAUCCAUUGGGCCUACCCUCGUGUGGAUCACGCGCAACAGGACACGGCUCACAAGCUAUGAUGUGCAGCAGUCGCUCAGAUGGCUGAAAGGUACCCUUAAUUUGAAUGGUACCAUAUAUAUAUAUAUAUAUAUAUAUAUAGUAAACAAGACAAACCACCGUUGAUACUACUUUGCACUACUUGAUACAUAUAUCUCCACCAAAAGCGAGGCACGUGGGGAGGAGAGAUAUGUGGUUGAUGGUGCGGGCACGUGGCGAGUGCACCGUACGAAAAUUUUGCUCGUGUCGGACGACUGAUGUGAAGCAUUACCCAAUCUUAAUUAUCUCCCAUAAUCCAAAACUCACAAAAACAUCAAAAAUCCGCCGAGAAUAAAUUAAGUAAACCAUGCACACACAGAUAAUAAAAUUGCUAAUAAGGCCAGAGACAAUACAUAAACAUAUUAGACUGUUCAUGACACAUAUCACGGUGGAUAGUGUCUGUGUCCUUAUUACAAGCAAUGAGAGAUGCUUGUCACCACACACACGCGCACAGAUGCACAACAUACAUAUAGUUGAGACCAACAGAUGGAUCAACUAGAGGUCACCCCAUAUGGUGAACAAUUUAUUGGAGAUAAACAUUAACAUAACUUGGCCAUAGCUUGAAGCAUAGCAACAUAUGCCUAUGAACGGCGUUCAUGCUAUCAUUUUAGGCUUGUCCGCUUCUUCCAUCUUAGCAAGCACUUCCAUUUCUACCAUCUUAGAAGCAACUGUCAAAUUGAGAUAUGGAAAUCCCAUUAGCGCAUGAGUUAAUUUUGCAGUGAAAAUAGAGUACAAGAUAUCUUCAUGAUGUAAGUAACAUGCCUGAAGUUGUGAGAUGGGAAGUGAAGUCAACAAAUUACAUUAACGGAAAUGCAUGGAAGGCCACACAUACGUAUUAGUCCAUGAUAUGCUACAAAGCUUGUAUGUACAUAUAGCAAAUUAAAUGCAUUAAUUGAAUAGAGUGAGUUUAGUGAAUUUACCAGAAUCGUCCAGAAAACAUGGGAAACAGCAAGUGUUCUUGCAGACUGCGUCGGUGCCACCCACAGCAAUACAACCAAAACAACAUGCUUUUGCCCGAGCGGCUGCGCAGCAGCCGCACUCUGCCGCGGUGGCCGAGUUAGCAUUGAGGCUCAAGAUGACCAGGCACAUGAUCACCAUCAAAGCGGUGGUAGUCCUCUUUCCCUCCAUUGCCUCCUCUUGCUGCUACCUUCCUUGGUUACCUAGCUAAGUUUAUUGGUUUUGUGUUGAGAGGUGAUUCUUGCAUUGAAUGGACGUUGCCGCGGCUGCAAUUUAUAGGCAGCUGCGCUAUGUGAUGAUAUGGACAAGGUGCAAAUGGGUGGUCCUGAUAUGGAUAAGGUGCAUGCGAAUGGCUGUCUACUUGUAUAGUGGCGCUCCAAUGUACAUACGUAUGUAUCUUAUGCAUGUAUACAGUUGAUGGAUGUACAUGUUUGUUGCACAAAUUAUUCUGAACCAACUCUUCAUAACAGGUCUUUGUUACCAAGUAAUUUUACUUUUGCACGUUUCAGCCGAGAGGCAGAAGAGAAUAUUUUACAGAGAGGGCAGAGAAGGAGGUUGGCGGAGGCGCCGUGGUAGGGUUCCCCGUGUCGCCAAGAUUUUUGCAUUUUAGAUGUGUGUAUUGAUCACUUCGUCGUGCUCGCGGGGCCCAACUCCAGGUUGUACCCCAGCAGACCACGUUCUGUUUCUCUGCCUCCAAUGAGCAUGCAUGCCUCCACAAGGACCACAAGACUUAGUAAAAAAGCUAAACUUUGCAACACGAUGUAUACAGAACGUUUUGAAAUGUACUCUCGUUAGGCAUUCACCUCCUUAACAAUCACUGCGACUGUAAAAGAGGUACAUCGACGCUAGCUAAAUAAACCACUAUAAGAUUUAGCAAGAGAUCAUUUUAUACAAUCCUGUAACGAAACAAUUUGACAAUUAUAGUGUCCAUAUAUUUUGACAAAAAAACGUUUAAAUUAUAUAAGGAGGUGGGCCCGAAAACGGUUGGAUUACAUCGAGAACGUUUUGAAACAGUUGGCGGAGCAGGAUUCUGGCGUGGAGCAUCUACAUUGUCGCGCGCGCGGACUGCCGGAGUAGGCACGCUCGACUUGUCCCAUCGCCAGCUAAAUGAUUUAGUACCGGAUGGUCUCUAGUACCGGUUGGAGCUACCGUCCACCAGGAGCUUUUCUAGUUUGGAACUGGUACUAAUGCUAAUAUUAGUAUCAGGUCAAAAACAAUCGGUACUAAGGCUAGGGAUGACACGUCAUUUUUCUAGUAGUGUGUGCAAUUGGUUUUGUAAUUAGUCUAUAUUUAAUACUUCUAAUUAGUAUCUACACAUUUUAUGUGACAGGGACUGAACUUUAGUCCGUGGAACCAAACACCCCAUAAGUAUGUUUGGUGCUGUAAGGAUUUCGGUUUUAUUUAAUUUCCUAGGCAUUUAAAUUUCUUUCUAAAAUAAGUUAAUGAAUCAUAGGAUCUCAUUGUUGUAUUCAAGCUGGUGCAUUGAUUUUGCCUAUAAAACCCGCCGCGGUCUUCGCAGCCCCCAUCAAACCCUAGCGCCCUUGCCACAAGCUCAGCACCGCUGCCGCCCGAGCUCGAGCACUAGCACCCACCCAUCGCCGUUGCCUUCCCGUCGAUGGGAUCACCGCCCGGAGCUUCGCAUCGUGGUAAGGAAGCCGCCCGUGAAGAUCCCAUGUGCUCCUAUGCCCUCUACCGCGUCCCCGAGUUCCCGGAGUUGCUAGUCUCCCACCGAGCCGACUCUCCGAGCUUCACGUCACUGGUGCCGCUCCGAAGACCUAGUUCGGUUCGCCAUGCACCUCGCUUCAUCCUGAGCUAAACCCCAUAAUGAAUGGUGGUCGGAUGCUCGCCGCCACGGCGCGUCGUCUUUUCUGUCGCCCGUGCAUUGCCUAUCCCCUUCCAGCCGAUUGCAGCUGUCCGAUCGCAAACCGGUGGCCCUGAUCGGAUACCAAGGUCAAUACCGGUCGAACCGAGCCGUGCGCUGCUUUUGCAAGAAGGCCCCUGUUUUUCUCUCUUUUUGCACCUGAGGUCCUACGCAGUUCAAAAGUAAUAAGAUCUAGGUCCUUUUUCUUUUGUUUUAGCCCGUGUUCUUUUAUAAAAUCCCGCCCACUAUUCUGUUUGGUCUUUUGACGCGUUAGACCUUCUUUUUAUAUGUUUAAUUAGGUUUUAGGUCUCGAUUUCUUUAAGUUUAGCCCUUGAAAGUUUAGUUCUCUCGCAGUUAAGCCCCUGAACCUUGUUUAGCUCAUAUCUUAAGCGUUUUAAAUCCGUUUUAACAGAUUCUUGCGCCUAUAAGUUCAUGUUGACGCAUAGAUUAGUUGACUUAUACGAACCUUGCUGAUUCAGCUCCUUGAUUGUGCUUCAGAUCUCGCUAGGGAAGAAUAAUGGAUGGGCUUUGGUUGAGCUUGUAGAUCGACUUGCAGUUGCAGUGAAUGAGCAGAGGAUUGGCAGUGAAUAAGAUCAGGCCGCUGCCCUGCUUGGUAGGGAAAAUAUCUGCUUGCUACCAAGGCCUGUGACGCAUGGACCCCAUUGAGAGUGCAUUAUUGACAAGGACUUAAAGCCAAGGGCUCCACACCUGUCAUUGAUCAGCUGUCUGCUGGGCGCUGCAAGGAGGUAGUGCAUGUUUGACAUAAAGAAGCAGGUGGCCCAGGAUUUACGAAAAAUAAGGAUCUAUUUGAUACCCUUGCUUAUAUUUAGGGGCUAAAAGUUGCUUAUUUGAAGUUGCUUAUUUUUAAUCCUAGCUGUUUGAUUGCAUGGGCUAAAGAGCAUUGAAUGAGGUGGAUAUUGUCAUGUUUGCCUCUAAUGAUUGCUUCCCAUCACAUUUCUCCCCCCUCAUUCAACGAGGGAAGGAGGUGUAAAGUGCACCUUUUAGCCCCGAUAAGUAACCCUUGUGUUGUUUACGGGCUGAACAUAAGUAGCUAAAGUUUAGCUCCAAUAAACAAGAGUGUUUGGUAUUUUUGGGGUUAAAAGGGGCUAAACUUUAGCUGCUUAUGCAUAAGCAAGGCCAUCCAAAUAGGCCCUAAGUAUGUUUGGCGUUGUAAGUAGGUUUUAUUUAAUUUCCUAGGCAUUUAAAUUUCUUUCUAAAAUAAGUUAAUGAAUCAUAGGAGUUCAUUGUUGCAUUCACGCUGGUGCAUUGAUUUUGCCUACAAAACCUGCUGCCGUUUCCGCAGCUCCCAUCAAACCCUAGCACCCCCGCCACGAGCUCCAGCGCCGCUGCCGCCCGAGCUUGAGCACUAGCGCACACCCAUCGCCGUCGCCUUCCUAUCAAUGGGAUCACCGCCCGGAGCCCGUGUCAUGGUAAAGAAGCCGCCCGUGAAGAUCCCGUCCACUCUCGUGCCCUCUACCGCGUCCUCGAGUUCACCGGAGUUGCCAGUCUGCCACCCAGCCGCCUCUCCGAGCUUCAUGUUGUCGUUGCCACUCUAGCUGCCUCUCUGAAGACCUAGAUCGGUUUGCCGUGCACCCCGCUUCAUCCUGAGUUAAACCCCAUCAUGCCACGUCAUAGUAAGGAAGCUGCUCAUGAAGAUCCCGUGCGCUCCCGUGCCCUCUACCGCGUCCCCAAGUUCACUGGAGUUGCUAGUCCACCACCGAGCCGCCUCUCCGAGCUUCACUUCACAGUCGCUGCUCCAGCCACCACUCUGAAGACCUAGAUCAGUUCGCUGUGCACCCCACCUCAUCCUGAGCUAAACCCCAUGACGAACUGUGGUCGGAUGCUCAUUUUCGAGUGAAUUCCGGCGAGAUGGUCGCCCGCCGCCGCCAUCUCCAUCGCCCAUGCACCGCCUGUCCCCUUCCAGCCGAUGUCCGAUUGCAAACCGAUAGCCGAAAUCGGAUGUGGUCACCAGGAUUAAUACCAGUCAAACUAAGCCACGCGUGCCGCUUUUGCAAGAAGGCCCCUAUUUUUCCCUCUUUUUGCACUUGAGGUCCUAUGCAGUUCAAAAGUAAUUAGAUCAAGGUCCUUUUUCUUAUGUUUUAGCCCUAUUCUUUCAUAAAAUCCCGGCUGCCAUCCUGUUUGAAAUAGAUACGGUUAUAGAUAUGCAAACAUCUGCAUAUUUCCAACCGUAUCUCUUUCGAACGGGAGACGCCUAACUAGGUUACGUGACAUACGAACAUCAUACGGAUAGAGAGGGGUAGGAUGUCUCACCUUGCUAUCCUACAAAGUGACGACUCGAGGACAGUAAUGUAGCCUCUCCUUCAAAAAAAGAACAUACUACUAUCAAGUUAAAUUUUUGACAGCACCUCCCCUGCACGUGGAGGUUUCCAUAACCUGCAUCAAAUAAAACGGCACGAUGGCUGACAACCACAUCUACAGCACCAGAAUGGCACGAUGGCCGACUUCCACAUAAAGUUCUUAUACCUUAGAUUGCCAAGUCAAACAUCCUUUUCUAAUUUCUAAAACAAAAGCCCUCCCACCUCUCUAUCUUAUACUUUCCUAUUUACUAAUUGCUUUUGUAAUUUCUAAUUUCUAUUUCAUCCUACCACCUCUGUACCCUUUUCUCAUUUCUAAUUCCAAUUUUCUAACUUGAAGAGCAAAGAUUGAUUACUAGGAGGGGUGAGGGACGCCGGCCUAGAGAGGCGAGGGGACGUCCGGCGGCGGCGGGUGCGUCGGGGGUAGGAUGCCAGGGGCGGCUGCAGGGGCGCCGGGUUGGGGGCGGCCGGGAUCGAGGGCACCAGUAGCGGGGGCACCGGGCCGGGGGCGGCCGGCGGGGCGGGACGCCAGGGCCGGGGCGACGGGCGCCGGUGGCGAGGCCGCCCGGCCGGUGGUGGCCGGCGUGGCGCCUGGGCCGGGGGGGGGGGGCGGGCGGGGUGCGGCGCGGCGCGCCGGGGCAGGGCGCCGAGGCUGGGUGGUGGGGUACGGGGCGGCGGGCGGGGGGUGGGGGGAGGGUCGGCGGCGGGGCGCGGGGGCGGCCAGCGGCGACGGCGGAGGGCGUCGGUGGUGUUUCGGAAGUGAUACGGAGGGGGUAGAGAGAUUCGUUUUCGCGGCUGAGUGUUCGAGUCAGAAGGCCGUGCGGCUUAAGUCAGGUGGUUUGCCGAGUGCGCGCGAUCUGGCACUCGGCAAAGUCAGAAGUUUUGCCGAGUGUCAGAUCGCGGGCACUCGGCAACUGCAGCUUUUGUCGAGUGCCCUGGAUUCGGCACUCGGCAAAGUGAAGUUUUAAUUUUUUUUAAAAAAAUUUAAUCGGAACACGGGCGUGCCAGCGGGCCCGUGACAUACUUUGCCGAGUGUGUAGCAAAAACACUCGGCAAAAUAUUAUCUUUACCGAGUGUUUUCGCUAGGCACUCGGCAAAGUACACUUAUAUUUCAUGUACACUUUUUCAAUAACGUGUUUUACUAACCUUUUUCUGAUAUACUUGGGAAAAACCUUAUCAAAUUCACUCAACAAUGGAUAUAUGGUUUUUCUACUGACAUUAUUCCAUUAUUUCAUUCAGUUAUAGCUCAAAUUGAAUUUAUAUCUAUUAAAAAUCAAUAAUUGCAUUUAAUAAAUAAAAAAUACCAAACGGAUCUGAAAAAUUUCCAAAAUUUGACAUGAACCAAUCUAUGUUGUAUGUUGCCUGUACAAAAAGCUUUGAAGUCAAACCCCAAUUCAAGUGUCACUUGGACUCCAAAUCUUAUCGGAUCCUUUCUAACUUCUAUGAAUCCUUUCGGGAGAUGAGUCGGUUUGUAAGCAUCAUAUGUCAUAAAUUGGGCGAAACCUUCUCAAUUUUUUACCACAGCCUCCACAUAUAAUAUCAUGACACCUUGACAAAUCUUGUGAUUUUCAGACUUCGUUUGCUUUUUUUAGAAUUUAACAACCAUUCAACCACAUGUUCGUGAUCGUGUUUUCUAAAAAAAUGUUCAAAAUUUCUUUUCAUUUCCUGGUUGAGACCUCAAUCCGGAUUGAAUAAUAUGAAUAUGAUUUUUUCACUGAUUUUAAUCCAUUAUUUAAAUCACUUGCAGUUAAAUUUGACUUAAAUAAACAAAUUCCUAUUAAUGCUAUCAAUUCAUUAAAAAUAGCAAACAGAGAAAAAAUAGACCAACUUUUAAGAUGGAUUACCAAAUGUCAUAUGUGGGGAGUAGAAAAAGUGUGGAGAGCAGAGGUGGAAAAAAAAGUUUUGCCUUUGCCAAGUGCCUACACAAACACUCAACAAACUUUGCGGAGUGCCUAUUGAAAACACUCAGCGAACUUCUGAGUUUGCCGAGUGUCUGGAGGGAGCACUCGGCAACCUACUUAUUUGCCGAGUGUCCGCGUCGGACACUCAGCAAAGUACUAACGGCUGGCACACUCCCCUAACGGACGGCGCACGUGCAAGCCAUGUGCUGGAGAUUUAUCGAGUGUCAAAUCGUUGCCGAGUGUCGUGUGGAUGUUUGCCGAGUGUCUUAUUUGUGACACUCGGCAAAGCUAUUGUUUGCCGAGUGUAUUAUUUAUGCCGAGUGUCUUCCAGUAUACACUCGGCAAAUGAUGUCUUUGCCGAGUGCUCGACAUAAAGCACUCGGCAAAAAUUUUACACUCGGCAACAUUCCUGUUUCCGGUAGUGAGUGACCCGGGACUAAAGACCCCCGUUGUCUCUGAUUGCUUUAUUCCGGAUGGAUUUUCAGGAGAUUUGCUCCCUACCAAUAGGGACUAAAGGCAAGUUUUCCACUUAUAGCAAACCAGUUAGCCCAUUGUUGAUGGAACGCAUCACUAGAAACAGCUCGGGAUCCACUUGUCCAAUAAUCGAGAGGGCCUAUAUAUGGACCACGUGUGCGGAUCCCUAAUUAGGAAAAAAGAAUAAUGGAGUAGGACAUCUCCAUGCUCACCUAGUAGCCGCUGCUAGCUUGUGCGUGUGGAACACGAGUGCCGGCCCAGUUGGCGCUAAGACAUCGUACGUGCAUUAAGGCUACGAUCUCUUUCUUCUAACUCAUGCUUGUGCUAUUAUACAUUAUUGCAUGAUCAUCAAGAUAAGAUCGUAUAGUGACUGAGUGAGACAUGUAUGUACUAACAUGCAUUUAAGCCUCGAACUGUGUGUUGUUACGUGAGCUGCCUCCUCACCUCGCCUCUGAAUUAUUGAACCGUUUCCAACAGUGUUGGUCUCAAAUAAAUUUGACACCAAACAGAUUUAUGAAGAAGAGAGAAUAAUACUUGGAAUUGGAAAAAGUUUAUCUCUCUUUACAAUGGAGUAGGGCUCCCUUUUAUAGUGACCCAUAAGCCACUUUACAUUUGGAAAAUGUCCUUCCUCAACCACUACAUUAAUUCCUAGGAUAUGCUGUACAUAAAGGUCAUUUGAGGUAACGUGUACAAAUGAACUCUUCCACAUGGUCACGUUUCUCAUGCCUCCUGUUUUCCAACCUCGAGACAUCAUCUUCACGCCAAGUUGAUCAUCUAGCCUCGAGGCUCCAUCCACGAUCCAGAAUGAACGUCCAGGCUUGAGGCUCCUUCUUCGUUAAGCUUUGUUGAGAACUCAUAACCUCACAUAGUUCUCCUCCGAGUAUUGUUCCCGACUCAGAACACUCGAGGUUUAGCUCAGUUGGAGUUUAGCUAUUACUGUUGCUAGUCACCAGCCUCGAGCCCCUCCAGAAGCAAGGUGAUGCGAGGGUACGAGUUUUACUAUUAAAGGUGUUUCCAUAGAAUGUGCGAGGUUAAAGCACUUGCAGCAAAAGCGUGGAGCUGCUUUCAACCAGAGUGCAAUAAUGCAGCCGUGCCCAUCUUGGUCUUGGUCUCCGCCUGAACUAUAGCAGAUGCUGGCAGCGGUAGCAGGGUGGUCCAUUAUAUCUAUGGAUGGCAAUGGUCGGAUUCGGAUGGAAUCGAAUUCGAAUAGCACUUUUUACCACAUACUAAUUCAAAUCCGAAUUCGGAUUCGGAUGUUCUCGAAUGCGAAUGCAAAAUGGAUGGUUCGAAUUCGAAUACUUAGCGGAUUUUUGCAUAAUAUUAAUCGAAUAGAAUUCAUUAAAUUUAGCCAAGAAAUUAAAUUUUCUGAAAUUAAAUACUUUCCCUUCGCCCCAGCGGCGGCCUAACUCCCAGGACGGUGGCGUGCGGGGCCCGAGCAUCCCUGGCCUCUAGUGGCGUGGCGGGGCGGCAUCCAGCAGCAGCGGCGGGGCUCGGCCUCCGGUGGCGCGCGGCCAGCCCGACCUACCCGGUCAGAGGUGGCGCAGCGGUGCGCGGGCCUCCCCGACCAGAGCCGGUGGGGAGCGGUGCGCGGGGAGGACCUCCCCAGCCGGAGGUAGCAGGGCGCGACCUCCCCGGCCGGAGGUGGCUCCCUGUGGGGGCGCGGCCGUGACAGCUAGCGAGGCAAUAAUUGCUUCCGUACGCAGCAAUAAUUGCUUGUGCGACACCGUGUUAUUACUCUGGUACAGUACUCCCUCCGUUGCAGUACACUGGUCCAGGCGUCAGGACACUGCUCCUGCCCUCGUGGUUCACGUGCAUCAGGCCAGCAGACAAGCUAUGAUGUUGCCAACAGUGUUUGUUUGAACAUGGAGAUGUCAUUGUGAUUGUCAGGGACCCGACACCAUGCAUGCCGAUUUCAUAUUCUUAAUAUUUAUUUUUUUAAUGGUUGUUGAAACUAUAUAGUUACUCCAAUAUCACGUUUCCGAUUAUAAAAAUUAACAUAAAGAGAUCGGAAGGGAGAGCCCGCAUAAUGAAGCCGACGCGUAUAAUAAGCACUAGAGCCGGCAUUUAUACAAACGGGUACGCAUAGUAAAAACUAGAAUUUAUAAAUAAAUGAAGAUAUUCAAAUAUCUGGCUUACUUUUUUCAUUAAUUUUGCAUGAAUAAGGGAUGAUUCAUUAAUCAUUAUUGAACAAAUUGGCACACAUGCUUCGUGCCCGCGUUGUGAGCAUUAUGCGAUGCCACUGAGCUGCACCACCACGGUAGAGGGCCUGUUUGCGAUGCCACCGAGCUGCACCACCACGGCAGAGGGUCUGUUUGGGAAGGGGAAGUUAAAGUUUAACACCCCCCAUUUAACACCUUUUUAACAAAAUGGCUGCUAAACACUUGUGUUAAAAGAGUAGUGUUAAAAUUUAACACCUCUCUUUUCAUAAACACAUGGAGGGGGUGUUAAAAUUUGCUAAAUGUGUUAAAAGUGGUCCCCUCCCCACUUAUUCCUUGGUUGCCCCCCUCUCUCUCCUCCUCUCUCUCCUACCCGCCGCAUUUAAGAGCAUUAUUGAGGGGUAAUGCAGUCCUUUUCCAACAAAAGUGUUAAACUUUAACAACCCUUCCCAAACAUGCCACAAGCAACACCACCGGCUGACUGUGCUAGCGGGGAGCACCCUCACCGCCUGCCCGUGGGGACUUCUUCUGCCGGCCAUCGUGUCUUUGUAGGACCGCCGCGUGAGCCUAUGAGCCACCGGUGGCCGUGCGCCCAAGGGCCAUCACCAUGCCACCUGAGGAUGCUGUCUACCCGGUGCCGCGUGCCUCUGCUAGCUGCUUGCACCUGGGCCGCCGCUGGUCGCCUGCACAGCCACGCGUUACAGCCGCCCCCCUGCGCUGGGCCACCCCAUUUCGUGUUGGAAGAACUGCCACAGUCUCGCGCACUGGGGUUUUGCUAGUGACGACCAUAGCCUCCAAGAUCAAAUGAAAAAGUUGGUACUCAAAACAUACAUCCAUUAAUCUAGUCGUGCUAAUCCUUACCACCAAAUAAAAACUAGCAUGUGUUGUGUUUUUGUGACCCUAAACGAUCACAAAUGAAUAACUUAUGGGCGUUGCUAGCCUAUAAGUUAUGGGCGUUUGUGACCCUAGUCGCGCCGGGGUCUUGCUGGUGACAACCAUGGUCUUCGCGAUAAAGUAUUAAGUCUCAUCGAGUUCUACAAUUUUGAUAUAAAAUUUCUAUUCAUCCGAGAUCAAAUGAAAAACAAAUGAAAAAAUCCGAAGUAUUAGGCUUCAUCGAGCUCUACAAUUUUGAUAUAAAAUUUCUAUUCAUCCGAGAUCAAAUGAAAAAAUCCGAGAUCAAAUGAAAAGUUGGAACUCAAAACAUACAUCCAUUAAUCUUGAUAUAAAAUUUCUAUUCAUCCGACAUCAAAUGAAAAAGUUGGUACUCAAAAUAUACAUCCUUUAAUCUAGUCGUGCUAAUCCUUACCACCAAAUAAAAAAACUAGCAUGUGUUGUGUGUUUCUGACCGUAAACGAUCACAAAUGAAUAACUUAUGGGUGUUGCUAGCGUCCCGGACGCUAGCAUCGGACGCAUGAGCAGCCGUCCGAUCGGGUCCGACACCACUUCACGAUCUGUCUUAAAAAAAAGUCCCACCGAAACAUUGUUCCAUGUUGCAUGAAAUACCCCACUAUCCAUCGCCAGGUCUACAGCAAGCACCACCUUCCAAUCUGCUGCUCACCCAAGCUAAAUAGGGGCAUUAAAAUUGCAGAAAUAUGUCACAUAUCCUUGUCAAAUUAAACUAAAUCGCAACAUCCGAAAAUUUCUUACACAAAACCAUGAAACAUAUCGAUUAGAUAGGUGUAACAAGAUGGAAUAUGGUAUCCAACAUAUAGAUUCCGAAAAACAGAUGAAACAUUAUGUAACGAUUGUUGAAACAGUCGAGAAAUAUAGAUGUAACGAUUAAAAUUUAGAAAAGAAGCUUUAUGCAAAUUGCAAAAAGCUGAAAUAAGUGGUUGAAACAUUUCGAAUCACCAAAUGCCACAUUUGAAAUGGCUACAUGAAACAUCACGAAAUCAAUUGCAACAGUUGAAGAUGAAAACAUUCAAAUGCCUUGCCUUUCUCCAGAUUUGACCCUCCAAGCAUGAGUCCAGCCAUUUGCACAUUAGACCCUUGGGAGGAGCUCACCGGAGAACAACAAGACCGUGUUCUCCAACAAUUUUCUGAUCAAAUUGCAACAGACAAAACAAAGCAUUGCAACAUCUGGCAUCACGAGCUACAACAUCAACAAGUUAGGAUCAGGAGAAAGAGGGAAAACACAAGCCUAACAACCCCAAGACAAAACUGAUGUACUCAUCAUACAUCACGGCUUGCCGUGCACAGAGAUGAAGGCCGCCAAGCUCAAUCGAGACAGAGACGACGUGAUAGUGCUCCAGAUCGACGGUCCCCAUCAAUUGUUGCGUACACUGCCAAAAGCAAUGGAAGAAGAAGGGUCGUCCCUGCUCGACCUCCGUAGAUGAGCGCAGAUUGGGGGAAACCGUAUAGAGUGCCGCUGACAGCACAGGCGAGGGGGCUCAGGCUUGAUUCAGGGUGAGGGUAGCGGGUAGCAUGAGGAGACAGUCAGGUUUCAUAGGAGAGAGGCGGAGUAGAGAGCUCUGGUGACUCGGUGAGGAGGGUGCGGCACGGAGAAAGGUGUGUAGCUGAAGGAGCUACAUGGUUGGGGCGAGGCGAGCGUAGAGACUAGAGAGGGAAAAAAAGCAUGGGGAGGAGACGAUAUGUGGUUGAUGGUGCGGGCACGUGGUGAGCGCACCGUAUGAAAAUUUUGCUCGCGUCGGAUGACUGAUGUGAAGCAUUACCCAAUCUUAAUUAUCUCCCAUAAUCCAAAACUCACAAAAACAUCAAAAAUCCGCCGAGAAUAAAUUAAGUAAACCAUGCACACACAGAUAAUAAAAUUGCUAAUAAGGCCAGAGAUAAUACAUGAACAUAUUAGACUGUUCAUGACACAUAUCACGGUGGAUAGUGUCUGUGUCCUUAUUACAAGCAAUGAGAGAUGCUUGUCACCACACACACGCGCACAGAUGCAUGACAUACAUAUAGUUGAGACCAACAGAUGGAUCAACUAGAGGUCACCCCAUAUGGUGAACAAUUUAUUGGAGAUAAACAUUAACAUAACUUGGCCAUAGCUUGAAGCAUAGCAACAUAUGCCUAUGAAUGGCGUUCAUGCUAUCGUUUUAGGCUUGUCCAGCUUCUUUCAUCUUAGCAAGCACUUCCAUUUCUACCAUCUUAGCAGCAACUGUCAAAUUGAGAUAUGGAAAUCCCAUUAGCGCAUGAUUAAUUUUGCAGUGGAAAUAGAGUGCAAGAUAUCUUCAUGAUGUAAAUAACAUGCCUGAAGUUGUGAGAUGGGAAGUGAAGUCAACAAAUUACAUUAACGGAAAUGCAUGGAAGGCCACACAUACGUAUUAGUCCAUAAUACGCUACAAAGCUUGUAUGUACAUAUAGCAAAUUAAAUGCAUUAAUUGAAUAGAGUGAGUUUAGUGAAUUUACCAGAAUCGUCCAGAAAACAUGGGAAACAGCAAGUGUGCUUGCAGACUGUGUCGGAGCCACCCACACGAAUACAAAGCUGACAACAUGCUUGUGCCUCGUGGGAUACGCAGCAGCCGCACUGUGCCGCGGUGGCCGAGUUAACAUUGAGGCUCAAGAUGAAC